Molecule: long non-coding RNA, 59489 nt
Filed under: Panicum hallii
Lineage: Eukaryota; Viridiplantae; Streptophyta; Magnoliopsida; Poales; Poaceae
Description: long non-coding RNA (PHAL_LNC000779)
Source: RNAcentral
UACCAACAAUUAAGAAGCUUUUUCCCUGACUUGCUGCAUCAAAAACUAAAUCACAAGCAUCUGAUAAAAAUCGAGCUGUUCUAGCGAGAUGUGUAAUGAGUACCUUUACGCUUUGCCGAGAUGUAAGGGGCCAUUUUAGGAUUCCAUUUCUUAAUACCAUGACCAAAAUGAACUCCCGCUUCUAUCAUCUCUUUCAAAUUGAUGUUCCAAUAUCUUUUUGUCAUUUUUUCCACACUUCCUUUUUAUUUUUUUGUUUUUUUUCAUCUAACCAUUACCGAAUUAAUUUCUUUUUGAAGAUUAAGAAAGAGCCAAAAUAGCUUGAAAUAAAUAAUAAUUGUUCCCAUGAAACCUUCUACUCAGAAUUGACCAUCGAUACAUGCUAUAAACAUAUCCUUAAUGAAUUAACUAACUUCUUUUAGUUAUUAAAAUACAAAAUCUAAAAUCGGACCUGUUAGCAUUCUAAGGUCAAAAGUAUAGUUUAAAUUAAAGUAAAAAUAAAAAGUUGCUUUAUGUAUACUUGAAUUGUAUAAAUAGCGGUAAACAGGGCUUCUGAUGUUUCAUAGAAAUUGUUUGUUACAUCAAAAUCAGAAGAAACUAAUUCUGUAUGGAGAAACAAAAUAUCUCUCAUUUCCGACGCGAAUAGUUUUUUUUGAAUUUCAAAAUAAAGGUUCUUGUCUUGUGGGGAACGAUGGACAAAUUUUUGGAACCCGGUAGGUAUAAUCUCCCCCCCCCCCCAAGAACUACAUUUUCUUUCAGGGCUUUCAACCAAUUAAUACGACCUCGUAGGGCAGCUUUUGCUAAAACUCGAGCAGUUUCUUGAAAACUUGCUUGAGAUAUGAAACUUUGGAUAUUCAAGGAAGCCCUUGUUAUUCCCAAUAAGAUUGCCCGAUAAUAGAACAAUUCAUCUAAAGCCCGCCCUGCUAGUUCCGCUCUCAAUAGUCCUAUUAAUUCCCCAGGUAAAAAAACAUUAGACAUUCCAUCUUCGGAAACCCUUGCUUUUGAUGUUACUUGGCGUAUAGUAAUCUCUAUAUGUCUAUUAUGGAUCUCUACCCCUUGGGAUCGACAAACCUUUUGUAUCUUAUUAACCAAAAAGAUACGACUUUGGGCUAUGGUUAGCUCAGCUUCAAUCAAGAAUCCCCAGGGAACCCCAAGAAUUCUUUGUAUACGUUCGUUCCAAUCCUCAAUUCUCCUUUCAAGAUUCGGCAAUAGUGAAUCAAUUGAACAGUUGCUCCUAUAGUGGCCAAAUAAGGCUUAGCUGCUCUUAGAACAAAGGAGUCCAUAUUAACGAUGAAAAUUUGACCUGAUUUUUUUAUGUGCGAUUUAAAUAGACAUACAUUUUCAUAAAUAAAUUGUCCAAGGUGAAUCAUUGCCGAUGUCUCUUCCCACGAGUCAUGAUGGAGAAAGUGCCAAUUCAAAUGGAAUGGCUCUAACAUGAUGUUACUGUUGAAAUUCGAAAUCCUUUUAUUUUUGUCUAUUAAAUACUAUUUAAGUCCUUGAAGUACUUGGAAGGUUUGUUUCAAAUUUUCAAGGAACAAGUAUUUUUUUAACAAGAUCUGAUUAUGUGUUAUUAAAUAGUAAGAUGAAGAAAAAUUUGAUAUACUAGGUACAAUAGCGCCUAAGAGCCCAAAAAUAUCUCAAAUAGGAAUUCUAGGAUUCGAUUCCUUUACCGUAUUAGGAUACUUUGAAUUCUUGAAUAAACCAAUUCGAGAACAGUUGGAUGCCCACAAAAUCAUCAAAGAUCGAUUACUUCGAUUCAACAAGGUGCCAAUAGCUUCUUGAUGUUGGCUAACUGAUUGAAUCUUUGCCUUGGAAUAAAAGGAAUUGGUAUUGUUGCGAUCUAAUCUGUUAUUGGGAAUCAGUCCUACACUUGUCCUAUCAUAACUUCUUCGUGUAUACCAAGUAGUAGAAUUAACUAAGUCAAUUCUUAGGAAAUCGCGAAUCAGAUCAUUUGUUCUUACCUCAUCAAGAGAAGCACGAGCCCCCCUCAUUUUCUUCUUGUUCCCAAUUCACUACUAAGCAAGUUCGAAUGAAUUGACUAUUCGUGUGAUAAAUUCUUUGAGUUAACUUGCUAUUUUCAUUACAAAUAAAAUUGACAUGUUGAAGUUGGAGAUUAUCCUCUUCUUGCAGGAGAUCCUACAAGAAAAGUGUUGCUAAAUUUCUCCCUUCGUCCAUUUGAUAUGCGACUGCAGGUCGGACCGAAACAAAAUACUUUUCCUUGCUUUUGAGAAUUUUUUUUGUUGAACAUAAACCCAAUUUUUCCUUUAUUUUGAUUCCUUAGAAUCUUUUUUCUCUUUCUAGUGGUAUCAAACUGCCACCUAAUAUCUUAUCCGCCUCUUCAGGAAAAUGAAUAUCCUCGGAAAGAUUUUGAGCUCUGUAUGGCUUUUAAUUCUCUUCACUCGGACCAAUCCACCUAGUUGACUUCUUCUACUUUUUGUGAGUUGUGUAUUGCCUCCAAUAAUACUAUUAUCAAGUACCUUUAGGGUUGAGGAUCUCAGCAAGAGAUGCAAUUCUUGAAGAAUGAAAAAAAACCGAUCUACUUCUUUUUGGUAUUUUUGGACUAAAUUCUUUUGUUCCUCGAUGCUCAAUGAAACCCUCCUUUUUAAGAUGGAAUCUUCCCUCGGGCUCCCAUAUUUCAUCUUCAGAGUCUUCCUCUGAGUCUUCUUCUAAAGUCUCAUAUUCCUUUUCUGAGCCAUCUUCAGAGCUCCCAUAUUCUUCUUCCGAGUCUUCCUCUGGAGCCCUAUAUUUGUCUUCUAGGAUUUCAUAUUCGCCCUCUCCCUCUCGGGUCUUAUAUUCAUUCUCUGGGCUACCAUAUUCUUCCUCCAAGUCUUUCUCUAGAGUCCUAUAUUCGUCCUCUAGGAUCCCAUAUUCAUCUUCUAGGGUUUCAUAUUCAUCCUCUAGAGUCCUAUAUUCAUCUUCUAGGAUUUCAUAUUCACCCUCUCCCUCUCGGGUCCUAUGUUCAUUCUCUAUGCUCUCAUAUUCCUCCUUUGAGUAUUUCUCUCAAGUCCUAUACUCUUCCUCUCGAGUCCUAUACUCUUCCUCUCAGGUCCGAUAUUCUUCCUCUAGGGUCCUAUAUCUAAAUUUAACAAUUCCUGAACCCCUUUUAUCUUGUUUGUAUCUUGGAUCAUCAAAAUAAGCAAAAAUAGUAUUUCUAUGUAACACACCCAUAAAGGGUAUUUCAAUUGAAAUACCCAAACAGGAUAUUAGCUCUUUCUCUUGUUCUUGAUGAUAUUGUAAUGGAAUAACGAACCCAUUUCUUCGCUUUUUCACCAACAAAUCCGAGUUAUCUUGAAGAAUAGAAGGAUAGACAAAAUUCCAAUGACCGUUGGACACGAUUCAAUCUAGCGUUAAAUAAUCAAGAAUUUCCCUAUCUUCUUUACCAAAAGUAUCCAAGAAUCUAUGGCUUACUUGAUCAUUUGCCAUUGGUAGGUGAAAGAUAUCUCUUCCAUGAACAGAAAAAGAAUAAGUAUUCAUUUGAUCUUGAUCCUUGUGGAGCGAAAAGGAUGCUAUACUGGAUCUGCACAUACUUACUAACAAUAUCCAUAAAUGGUUUGUUUUUCGUAAUCAUCGAAGAUUACCAUAUUGAUAUUCGGGUGCAUGGCAAACAUUAGUACUCCAGUGCAUUUCCCCGUCAGAUUCGGAAUAAAUAUGCUUUUGUAUCUUUUCUUUAAAAUGGAAAGUGGAUGUUCCGGCAUGAAUCUCCGCAAUUACUUGUUCGGAUUCUAAAUAUUGAUCAUUUGGCACUAGAGUCAAGCUUUUUAACGGAAUAUUCACACUAUGUAUAAUAUCCUGACUCUGAAUAGUUACAUCCAAGUCUAUAUAGCAUAGAAAAGCAGGUUGUCCAUGACGGGUAUGUGUGGGGUGAACCAAAUCCUCAUGGAAUUGGAUUUUUCCAUUCGAGGGGGAUCGUACAAUGUCGGCAGUACCCCCUAUGAAUACAGCAUCAGUAUGAAAAGUUCUUAGUGUUAGUUGAGUCCCUGGCUCCCCAAUGGAUUGACCUGCAAUAAUACCUAUAGCUUCCCCUAAUUCGACCAGAUCCCCAUGAGUGGGUCUCCGCCCAUAACAUAAUUGGCAGAUCCAAGAUGUGCUCCGGCAAGUAAAGGGGGUUCUAAUAUAUAUUGGUUGGGCUCGAAAGGAAGUUAUGAAUCGGUUGACUAAUCCAAUUCCAAUAUCUUGAUUUCGAGCAGUAAUGCAUCGUGAACCAAUAUAUAUAUCAUCUGCUAAUACACGACCAAAUAGUGUUUGGACAAAAAGUUUUUCCGUCAUCCCAUUUUGAGAACUCACAGAAAUACCUUGGAUAGUACCACAAUCUCUUCUACGCACAAUAAUAUGUUGAACUAAUUUCUAAGUGUAGGAUAGCAGCAUCCGUCGUUCGUACAGCAGUAUCUACAACCCCUUUUCGGGCUCCGUAGCAGGAAAUUAUAUAUUCUGUCAAAGAAAGUCCCUCGCGUAAAUUGCUUUGAAUAGGUAAAUCAAUCAUUUGUCCUUGAGGAUCCGCCAUUAACCCUCUCAUACAUACUAAUUGGUGUACCUGAGAAGCAUUUCCUCUGGCUCCUGAAAAAGUCAUUAGAUAGACUGGAUUAGAAGGAUCCUUUAUUCAAAAUUUUGAAUUCAUUUCUUGUUUCAAAUAUUCACUUGUAGCAUACCAUAUUUCAGUGGAUUGGCGUAAUUUUUCUACUGCGUGUACAGCCUCAUAAUAAUAGUGUUUCUCCAAAAGAAAACUUUGUUGUUCCACGUCUUGGACUAUCAUCCUUUAGAGGGUAUUGUUAAAAGACCCUCGAUUCCUAAAGAAAUCGAUGUAGUAGUGUGGCUUGAUGGAAGCCCAGAGUCUUUAUUUGAUCCAAUAUAUGGGAUGUAUAUCCCAUUCUGAAAUGAUCUAUUAAUCUACUAAUAAGUCGUUUCAUAGCAGUUCCGUCUAUCUCUUUAUUAUGAAAGACCAAGCUGGCCCGUUCUGCCAUACAUAAGUACCCCCUUUUUUGGCUGAGUAGGAUUCGACAAUGGGCUUGAGUCAGUGAUUCGAAAACUUAAUUUACUCCCUUUCCUCAAUCUCAAUCUGGAUUUGCGCGGCAAAAAAGAUGGGACUAACGAAAUCGGAAUGGCCCCGGAAAGGGGCAUCGCCGAACCUAACUUCCUAAUUUAGAUAGUGUAUGAAUAGGCCCAACUAAAUCCUUGUAUGGCUUCCUCUAUUUCUCUAUAAAAAUAAAUAUGACCAAGAGUGGUUCGAAUGUAUAUAGAAUGGAUUUUUUUUUCUAUUUCCCACUACCAGAUAGUGGGCAUAAAUCUCAUGAUAAGUCCCAAAAGAUUCAUAUUGAACUUCAAUUAGAACUUCUCUUGACCCAAUGACGCGUUGAUCUAGUUUCCAUCGGAGCCACAAGGGACUGUUUAAACCGAUUCAUUUCUAUCUAUAAGCUCCCAGUGCAUCAUAGGAACUAGAAAAAUGAUGUCCUUUAUCUUUCGUAUACUUAUAAUAAUUUUUAUUAUUGCAUUUUAAUAUUUUAUUUGGAGAGUUUCUGUGGCAGAACCGUCUGAAUUAUUCCGGCUCAAGUGCACUAGUCAUCGUUAUAUAGCCGAUACUAACUCAACGCACUUCAAAGGGAACAACCCAUUGGUCUGUCGGGUCUCCGCCCGAUGCAACCACGGUUCAACAGAAUCGAAGCAGGUUUACCUCGCACGAAGGCGAGUUUACAAUCGCACAACAGCUCAUUAACUUUUAAUUCACAGAGAAUUAAACAUUAUUACAAACUGUUUCAAACUUAAGUAAUAAACAAACAUUGUUUAAAAUGACAAGCUAAACAUGCUUGUCAAGUUCACAGUGGAAGAAAAAUUAACACACAACUACACACAUCGCGAAGGUUGACACCAUACUCAGCCCGAAGUAUGGCACCAUUCAGGAGGGUCACUGCCAGCCGGGGAUGGAUCCCACUCCAGGACCAGCCAAACGGGGCAAAAGUUAGCCAUGCAGGACUAUCCGUGGGGUUCUCGAGAGUUAUACCUGAAAAAUUCACUAGCAAGACUGAGUAUACUAAUACUCAGCAAGACUUACCUGGAAUUGGGUUAUACUUUGCCCAUAACUAGACUCAUGAAAGCUUGCAAUGGUUCUGGGUUUAAUUUCAGCUGAAAAGCAACAAAGAGUAUAAUCUACUUUCAUGUUUUUAGCUUUCAGAUUCUAGUCUCAUUAACCAUUCUAGGUAAGCACCUAUCCUAGACAAACAAGGUAGAGAUUAACAUCCACCAGAUUAUUCCAUAAUAGUUAGUGUUCUUACUCUAUGUGGUAGAAGGAAUAAGCAGUCUCAAUCUCCGUGAGAAACGGACGAUUCCUGAAUCGAAUUUCAAAACCUUGCAUGGGUAAACCUAACUCGCACGCUUGGAACAUCCAAAGAUCAUUCCGAAGCAACCAUUUGCCUUUCAUUCCGACUCGUGGAACAGGGCCACCACAAGCGAAUAUAGGACCGUACGCACACCAAUUGUGCAGGACAUAUGUCUAUAGCGCGACUUUAUGACCGUACUCCUGUCCGCUGCGCGGAACGUACUCCCGCACGUCAGUGCGUGAGAAAAACCAAAUUACGAGUGGUGGGAGGUAUGUCCACUCCUCGGGCCGAUUAGUUACUAGGCUUACCGCUUUACCAUAUUUCGCGGCAUGUGGCUAGUACUUUCAAACGCUUAGCCACCACUACCACACACUGCGACCUUAUCAACUUUUAUCAACACAGAUGGGGUAACCUUUCUGAGUCAUGAUGUUGCACAUGACCCCGUCCAUCAUCCUUAUAGUGAUUGCAGAAUAGUAAGCAUUCAACUCCUAUAUCGCGCGAGUGACAGGAAAUCACCCGACUUCUACCGGUCCUAUUAGCAGAGCAUCUAUGCGAUAAGGACUCAGGUACAAUACAUUGGAUUCCUAGGAUUUAUGCAUCUAGGGUUCCAUUUCAACUCCUAGACUUAAUGCGAGAUAUAAUAUCUAAGUAUAGAAUUGCAUAAAUGUAGUAAUUUGAAAUAUUGGGUUAUGCUCCGGGGCUUGCCUUCUUGAGCGGGGUUUUGGUCAGUGGUGUCAGAGGCUUCCGAACUUUGGUUCGGGGCUUUAGUUAUAGUCUCGAUGAUGUUCGCAGGAUCUUCAGAAAAUCCUAGCUCGUUUUCCGGGACUAGCUCGUAGUCUCCGUCGCCGAGUGUCGUUGACUCUACAUGAUAUGCAAGGAUUUGAUUAGAUGAUUCUUGAGUUAAGGAUUUUACUUCACAGUAAAGUUGCAAUCCAAUAAAUUAACAAACAUAAACUCAUGAAACAAGGGGGUUGGAUUUAAUUCUACUAUUUGUAUUUUAAUUCAUUGCCAUAUUAAUGGAAUUACUUUGAAGUAAUCUGACAAGUUUGAUUUUUAUUUUUGAAACCAUAAAGGUUCUGAUCUUGAAUUUUUGUGGAUAAGCUUAUUUCUAGUGGAUAGGCUUAUUAUGAAUUUUUCAUAAUUUUCUGAAAAUACAAACUAGGGUAUUUGAAUUUAGUUCAAAUGUUAGGGUUAAAUUCAAAUCUUAGGUAAAUAGUGUUAUAAAUUCUUGAAAAAUUAAUUAGGAACUAAUUAUCAACAUAUCAACAUAUGGUAAAAAGAUUUAAGCAUGGAAAGCUUAGGAACAUGUUUGAAUAAAAUUUAAAUCCUCUCAAGCUUGAUUUGUACAAAAUUAAAUUAGUUGAAGCUAGGGUGCAGUACUGGUGCUGAAAUUUUUACACAAGCUUGUAUUCACCUUAAAUAGACUACACACCAAAAUUUUACAGGUAACAAAGUUAGCAUGCACAAAAUUACACACAAAACACUCUUUUGCUUGACUUUAAAAUAACUCAAAAAACAUUUAGUUUUGAACCAAACUCUAGUAACAAAAGUAGUCGAAUUGAACUUCUAGAGUACAACAAAACUGGUUUGACAAUUUUUUAAUUUUUCUACGAAUUCCUAUGAAUUUUACAAGUUGGCUGAUUUGUGUUUGGACGGGGGUGCUACUUUCUCACAGAUAGGCCCCUGGAAACUUUUGAAUUCUCGAAGUUGAGUCCCUAGCCAGACUACACAGGAGGUCCGACCGAUUGCCGAUCAAAUUCCGGCGAGAGGGGCAAGUGAGGGGAAAUGCUCUGGGUCUCACGGCGGUCACGUGGGUGGCCGGUGUCGGGGAAGGGAGGGGCUGUAGCGGCGUAACGACGACGAUCAGGGUCAGGCGGCGGAGGUCCGAAGGAUGUCGCCGGCGUUCCGGUAGCCGGAGGGCAGGAGGGUGGUGGGGGUGUGGCUAAACAGCUUCUACGUGAUGAUGUGGUGCUGGUGGUGUGCUUGGCCGGGACUAGGAGUGUAACACCCUAAUGUAAAUUUCCUAAAUUUUAAUGAAUUUAUUUUGGCUUAAAUAAAAUUUCUAAGGUUUUUCUUGAUUUAUCUUGCAUUUAAACUAAUUUUAUACCACAAGUAAUUAAAUUUAUUUAGGGGUCAACAUGUUUGUACAUUCAUGCUGGUGCAUCUCUUUUGUUUGUUGGAAUGCUUUAGUUUGAAUUCAAAUCUUAAUUGAAUUCAAAUAGAUUUGAGUUUGGAAAUCAGGAAAAGAAAUAGAAAAUAAGAAAGGAAAAGAAAAGCCAGCCCAACCCGCAGCCCUUUUCCUUCUCCACCCUCUGGGCCGGCCUCUUUCCCCCGCGGCCCAGAAGCCACGCCCCGCCCAGCUCCUCCCUGUUCCCCAGCCGGAGCCCGCGAGUCCCCCCUCUUUCUCCCUCUAACAGUCGGGACCCACCUGUCGGCAUUUCCCUCCUCUCAGCCGCGCAGCGCUCUCUCUCUCUCUCUCUGGCGUAGCGACCCCAUACGUCAGUGCCUCCUUCCCCCUUUCCUUUCUUCUUCCCCGAGCACCGGCCACCCGAGAUCUCCGGCCAGCCGUGAUCCAGCUCGGGCCCGCACGCCAAGACCCCGGUUCUCCCCUUAAAGUUGAACCCUAAAACCGAAGCUCAGAGCGGAGCCGUUUCAGCUCCGCCGUGGUCCGGCCGUUCCGGCACUCCUCUCACCACCGUAGGUCGACGUGGCAGCCCUGCCUUGUCGCCAGAAGCGUCGUCGACCCCUCCUUCCCCAACCUCAGGCCGCACGCACGGUAAUUGCUUCGGCCCCGCCAUCGUAGGCAAACCGUCCCCGAUCAAUUGCUCGCCGCCGGUAGGCCGCAGGCCAAGCUGACCCCAUUUACACCUUCACAGGACCCGCACGUGUCAUCUUGGAGGAUCAGCAGGCCGGGAGGAGCACUACCUCAACCUGUCCACGGCACCCCGUGCGCGCCACCGCUUGAUCUCGGCGCCGGCAUCCCCGCACGGAAGCACUGCCCAAUUCGUGCCCUGGUGAGCACCGCCCCAACCUCCUCUUGCUCUUAAGGUACACACCGUAGCUUGUAAGCCGGCCCCGUGGGCGGAACGCCGUUUCAGCGAAACGCCACCGCGUGCGCAUAGGUCUGCGGCCGUAUCGGAGUUCGCCGCCGUGCCGUACCCGAGCGAACCCCCAGGUAGAUUAGGUGUGCCGCGAGCUUCGUCCCCGGCCAAGCCCCGACAAGAAGUAAGCACGGAUGGCCGAGAUUGGCCAACGCCGGCGAAGUGCCGCCGCGGGAUUUGUCGCUGGAGUAGUAGCGCCGCCACCCCUGCAGCCCAAACCCCCGAGCAUCCAAUCUGUAACGAGCGGCCAGGAUUAGAUCAUGACCGAGUAGACCCGGGCCACCCGAUCGAGGUCCAGCGGUCCUGAGCCAAAGGUACCAGUUCGUGGCAUGGUUAGGUCAGAGCCUUUCGGUCCGAGAUCUACGAUCUAGAUUAGAUCCAGUUAAGUUAAGGCUCGAUCCAUUGGAUCCAGAUCUGACGGCUGAUACGCGUAGAUACCGGUUCGCGCGAUUAGAUCGGGUCCGAGCCGUUGGAUCUAGAUCCAGUGGCCCAGAAUAGAAGGUACCCUUUCAGCCGUGGCGUUUUUGUUAAAGAGUCCCUGGGUUUCCUAGGAAUCAACCCGCAGUCCAGCGCCGUUCAAAAGUAUUUGCAGAUCAGCCCAGUUUUUAGUGUUUAGACCCCUGGAUUCUUUAGGAAUAGAACCCGCCAUCCCUAUCCGGUGUUUUCAUGGGUUAGACCCUAAGUCUAUCCUUUAAUUAUGUUUAGACCCUUAGUAUUUGCACAGAACCCCUUAGAACCUCGUGUUUUCUUACGAUUAAAUCCUUGGAUCUUGUUUUAGCUCUAGAUUUCGCGUCUUAACUCUGUUUUAGAUGGUUUUCGCGCUCACGCGAUCGUUGUAACGCGUAGAAUGGCUUUAGCUUAGUUUUGUGUGCUAUUUUACUGUAUUGUUGUACUGUUUCUUAUCUUUUGCCAUUAUUUGCAUGUAUGUGCAUGUGUGGACCAUGUUUUGGACGUUUCGUUCGUGAGUAGAUGUUGAGCCACCGGAAGAGUACCAGGAGCCACUUUCUUCAGAGCCCUUUGAGUAACAGCAGGAGAACUUUGAGGAAGGCAAGUAUAACAUGAACAUCCUAUCACUUUUAAAUACAAUUUCAUACUGCAUUUUAAUACUGUAUGCCUAUAAGGAUUUCCUAGCCACUUUUAUCCUUUAUAUAAAUACGUUGGGUUGCAUUUUGAUUAGUUGUUCUAGGUGCUGCGCUCUCACAUAUAACGGUCCUUUUUAAUUAAAUUUGAUUAAUGGCAUAUGCAACUUGAUCCUGAAAGUGGCCCUCUGUGCUGUGCGCUUGAGUGGCUCACGUCUCGUUAAAAUAUAUUUUAUUAGAAACAUGGUUUAGGGGGCCAGCACGGUGCUUAGUGCUUGGUUGGCCACUCUCCAUAAGGACUGGUUCAUAGAACGACAACCUGGGACAACCGCGCAACCACGAGACUGGAAUGGGACGGUCUUGACUUACUAAUUAGGUCAUUUUGGUUUGGGAGUAAGUUACCUGCGGGGCAAGAGGGGUGGUAAGCUUCAAUGGUCCCUGCUCCUCCGGCUUGGUCUGUGCUGUGUGCUUGUACCCCCGUGAGGUGGGCCCAUCGUCGCUGAUCCAGAAACCUUAGCAGUUACACCUUACUAACGUGAUCCUUUGUAACGGUCUCGUAGUGCGCUUGCUAGUCAUCUCACCUAAGGAAGUGUGAUGAACAACUAGCGUAGCUCACGACUUGUGGGUAAAGUUGUGCAACCUCUCGAGAGUGUAAAACUGGUAUACUAGCCGUGCUCACGGUCAUGAGCGGCCCAGAUCCUCCGUCUGAUUAGUGGGUUGUAGCUUUGGUGGUUUGGCUUGGUUCUCAAUAGACUCAUGGUUAAUCUUGAUUAAUUAUUAUGCAACUUGGGUCAUGGUAAUUCAUCCACUCGUAGUAAAUAGCUUUAAUAAAAUUUGCCAAGAUUAAAAGCUAAUGCAGUUGAGUCAGCUAAGCUUAGAGCCUCAUAUUUUGUGUUAUACUUGUUGAGUACAAGUUGUGUACUCACACUUGCCUUCUCUACUCUUCUGUUCUCUCUUGGAUAUCUUCGACUGCUGCUCAGUACCAGGCAACAUGGAGGACUACAUCAGCGGACUCGAUGAUUUCUAGGCGUUGUCUCCCAGCCGAUGUCCCUGUGGCGCCCUAUUUUUCAUGUAUUUAUCUUACGCUUCCGCAUUCUUUGAACUGAUUCUUGAUUCAGUUGUAAUAAAGAUAUUCAUUUACAAUUUAUACGCUUUUAUUUUGGGAUACGUGUUGCGAUAUCUUGAUGGUUCUGUUGUAUAUAUGUGUGACUUGAUCCUGGCGCAUAUAUGAUUGCUCGGUUUAUGUUCUUAUAAAUCGGGUGUGACAAGGAGGCGGUGGAUCAACGGGUCGACGGCGAGGCCAAGCGGCGGCGGCAACUCGAGCUCACCGCCGUAGUGGUCUGGUCAUUCCGGUGCACGAGAGCGAGAUUGGGCGGGCUGGGGAGCACCAGUGGGUGAUGGGGAUGCUAAUUGUGCAUUGGAUCGGGGCUCGGAGGUGAUGUGGGCGGCUGAUGAUGACGGGCAGUAGCUGCGGAGGAGGUCCGGCGAGGCGCGGUGGUCAGGAAAAGAAAUGGCCAUGGAAAUGUGGUUGCGGGAACAUAAGAAGGAGUGUAUUGGGAGCUCCAGGAUGUGCUUCAAGUUGAAGAGAGGGCACAGAGAGCAAUAGCUGGUGCAGGCGGCCGGCGGCGAGCAUGGCGGUCGCGGGUGGAGCUCGGGCAGAGGUGGUGCAGCAUGGCGCGUGCGGGAGAAGACAGCGGGGAAAGCUAGAGCGGCGGUCGACUGGGGAGUGACGCGUGGGGACUGCUAGAUGCAGGAGGUGGCGCUGGUCGGGCUGUAGCGAUGGCGAGCAGCGGCGGAAGGUAGUUCGGGCGGAUGGCAGUGCGGCGCGGUAAGGCGGGGAGAGGCCAGCGUGAGGCCGGGAAAGCGAUGGCGGGAUGCAGGAGCGGCAUGUGGUGCACAGAGGGGCGGCGCAGAGCAGUUAAAGCUCGGCACAUGGCCGGCGAAGCGGCGGCAGGCAUCGGGCAGAGCGAAGGUAGGACGGAGCAGAGCAGGGGGGCGAAAGGUAGACGAAGGGACUGACUCGCAAUUUUUCAAAAAUACAGGGACUCUACUGUAAUGUCUAGAUAACUUUCAAACCAUAGCUUAAAUUAAAAUGUGCCCAAAAGCAAAAGUGUAGAGGUCAACAAGAUCUACAACUUUGCUUUAAGGUUCGGUUGCAAAAGAGCUAAAGAUUUGAAACUAGCAUAAAACUUGGUAAAGUUUUAAACUUUAAGUAAAUCCUAUGUAGAAUUCUACACUACACUUGCGCAUCCUAUGGGUAGUUUUAUCUCUAUUUGAGGUUAAAAGUAAGUUCUUGACUUUUCACACAACAACCUUUAUAUGUUUUGAUUUUUACUUCCCAUUCUCACCCAUUUAACACUAAAGGACCUAAAUUUUGCAUUCCAAUUUAAACACAUAUACACAUGAUCAACAUGCACACUUAAUACUAGAAUUUAGUGGGUUUAUAAUUCUAAUACCUGAAUGUUACAGUUUCCGUAACUAUUAUAUCUAUUUGCACAAAUACCUCGACGGUUUCCAAUUGUUAAUACAUAAAGUCCGAUAAGCAUGUCUUGGGUUGUCACGCAAAUAGGAUCUCCAAUAGUGGGAGACAUGAGAUUCAUAUGAGAAAACAUAAGUAAAUGGGCUUCCUCGUGAGCUUCCAAGGAUAAAGGUAGAUGAACAGCCAUUUGAUUCCCAUCAAAGUCCGCAUUGAAACCCUUACACACUAAUGGAUGCAAACAAAUAGUACGCCCCUCUACUAAAGUGGGUUGGAAGGCCUAUAUGUCUAAUCUAUGCAGGGUAGGUGCUCUGUUCAACAGUAUAGGAUGUCCCCGCAUAACUUCUUGAAGUAUUUCCCAUACAAUGGGUUCCUUUUCCAAAAUUUUCCUUUUAGCGAUCCUGACAUUAGAAGUAGCACAUUUCAUGAUUAAAUUGCGAAUUAAAAAUAGCUGAAAAAGCUUUAUUGCUAUCUCUAGAGGUAAUCCACAUUAAUGUAAUGAAAGUGAAGGACGCACAAAGAUGACAGCACGCCCCGAGUAAUCAACCGGUUUCCCAAGCAGAGUCUCGCGAGACCUCCCCUCUUUACCCUCAAUUACAUUUGAAAGUGAUUUCUAUACUUUAUUGUGACCAUCCAUUGUCGGUUGCCCGCAGGAUCCACUAUCAAGAAGUGUAUCCAUGGCUUCUUGUACCAAUUUUUGCUGGCACAUUACUAAAUUUGCUGGUGCUAAUUCACUUCUUUUUAAUAGAUAGGCAAGGUUGUUGUUCCGAUGGAUAACUCUCUUAUAAAGUUCAUUAAUAUCUGAAGUCACUACUUUAUCCCCAGACCUAUAAACAAUGGGUCUCAAUUCAGGAGGAAGAACUGGUAAUAAGCACAAAACCAUCCAUUCUGGUUCUACAUUUGUUUGAAUAAAAUGUUUCGCCAAUUGCAUGUGUCUAAUAGAAAAAACUUUUCUUAUUCAUUUUUUCUAUCUUCCUAUUCAUCUCUACUAUACCCCUCGUCUUCUAAUUCUUUCUAUUCAACCAAGGAAUUCUCUAUAAUAAUUCGCAUAUCCAAAUCUGCUAAUUGUUCUCUAAUAGCACCUGCUCCUAUCGCAAUUUCCCGAUUUCAAAAUGUUGCAAAGCCUGGGGUAGAAAAAAGGGAGAAAUACCGUGGUUACAUGAUGAAAUUUCAUAUUCGAAUAAACCCCAUAAUCGUAUGAAAUUAGGGUUUUUAGUGCUGGGCCUAGCCAAAGAGAAAUCACCAUAUACUAGGCCCUCCAAUUUCUUAAGGGGUUUAUCUAAAAGAUUCGCGAUAUAACUAGGAAGACCUUUCAAAUUCCACAUAUGAGUCUCUGGACAUGCCAGUUUUAUGUAGCCCAUUUGAUAUCUUCGUAUCCGAGAAUCAACAAAUUCUACCCCGCAUUUUUAGCAAAAUCUUUUGUUUUCGUUUUCAGCUACGCUCGCUCGAGAAUUUCCACAAGCACAAAUUCCUCUAUUUAUGGGUCCAAAGAUUCUUUCACAAAAGAAUCCAUCUUUUUCUAGUUUAUCGGUUUUAUAAUGAAAAGUGGAGGGCCUUGUGACUUCGCCAAUGACUUCCCCAUUAGGUAGGAUUUUUUUUAGCCCAAGCCCUUAAUUGUUGAGGGGAAACGAGUCAAAUUUGAAGUUGUUUAUGUUUAUAUUGGUCAAUCAUAAAAUAGAAAUAAGAAAAGAAUUUAUAUUUAUUCCAAUCAAACAUCCUCCCUAUUAACCUGGAAGUUCUUCUCAGGUAUAAGGAAAUGGUUCAGUUCUAGAGCUAAAGAUCGUAGUUCUGGAACGAGCACUUGAAAAGAUUCUGCAGGAUCCUUGUGAUUAGGCACUCUUUUUCCCUGGAUCGUAGCAUUAAGUAUUUCUUGGCGAGGUAUAAGAUGAUCAGAUUUAUAACUAAGUAUCUCUUGUAAAAUAUGAGCAACACCAAAUCCUUCUAAAGCCCAAACUUCCAUUUCUCCUACUCGUUGUCCCCCUUGCUUAGCUCUUCCUCUAACGGGCUGUUGGGUAACAAGUGAGUAGGGCCCAGCAGAACAUCCAUGAAUUUUUUCAUCAACUUGAUGAAUUAAUUUUAAGAUAUAGGACUUCCCUAUUAGAACAGGCUGUUCGAAGAGAUCUCCUAUUCUUCCAUCAAAUAUUAUGCUUUUUCCCGAGUACUCGGGUUCAAAUACCCAUGGAUUUUUUGUUUGUUUAGUAGCUUCAUAUAGCUUUCUUGAAGCCUCUUGCUAAAAUCUCUCAUGAAAGGGUGCUAUUCUAUAAUGUUUCUUUAGCAGAUCCCUUGCUAAUCCGAGCGAGCUUUCAAAUAUUUUUUCCCACAUUCAUUCGUGAGGGUACUCCUAAGGGAUUGAAGACCAUAUCAACUGGUGUUCCAUCUUGCAAAUAGGGCAUAUCUUGCCUAGGCAAGAUUUUUGAAAUGAUCCCCUUAUUCCCGUGUCUUCCGGCUACUUUAUCCCAAACUUUGAUUUCACGCUUCUGUAAAAUAUAUACACGAACCAUUAUGUCAAGGGGGUCCCUCUGGAUCCAUUUAAUAUCAAUAACAUGCCCUCUUCCACCUAUAGGUAGUUUUAGAGAAGUUUCUUUUGAAGUGGAUACCUCAAGACCAAAAAUAGCCCGUAAUAAUCCAGCUUCCGCGAUAUACGAUGAUUCGCUUGCUAUCUGAGGCAUUAAUUUACCUAUUAAAAUAUCGCCAGUUUCUACCUAGGAUCCCAACUUCACAACUCCAUUUCUAUCCAAAUUGCAGAGUAAAUGUUCUUCUAGAUGUGGUAUUUCUUUAGUGAUUUUUUCAGUGGAGCCUUGGCUUGUCGUAUCCGUCUAACUUUCAUAUUUUUGGAUAUGAAAAGAAGUAUAAAUAUCCUCAUAUACCAAAUGUUCGCUAAUUAGUACUGCAUCUUCAAAAUUGUAACCCUCAUAGGGCAUGUAAGCUACUAAAAUGUUUUUUCCUAAAGCAAGUUCCCGAUCCCCAGCAACUGUAUCUACUCUCUCCACUAAAAUUUGCCCUUUUUUAAUGGAUUUAGCCUACAGAACCCGAGGGUUUUGGUGCAUACAAGUAUUAUUGUUAGAGCGCCAAUGGGCAACUAAAGGAAUACUUAUGCUUUUCCCACUACUUGAUAAAAGGAUCUUAUGAUUAUCACUAGAAAUUAUCUUUCACUCGCAUUCGGCUAUAAUGGAAACCCUCGAAUCUAGAGCAGUUUGGCAUUCUAAUCUAGUUCCAACAAUGCACUUCUCGGACCAAGAAAGUGGAAUUGCUUGGCGUUGCAUAUUAGAACUCAUUAAAGCCCGAUGCGCAUCAUUAUGGUCAAUAAAAGGAAUGAGAGAACCCCCAAUACAAAAAUAUUGGAAAGGGAAAAUACUUCUAACAUAAAUCUGUUCCCAUGCAAUAGUGAGGAAUUCUUGACGGUAUCUAGAUGGAACAACCUGUUCUUCCUGAAUACCCUGAUUCAAGGAUAAAGAAUUUCCUGCUACUAUCAUAUAAUAUUCAUCUCUAUUGGGUGAUAAAUAAACCACAUGUCUCUCUUUUUUUUCUUUUGCCUGCUCAGAUAUUUCUGUUGUCGGUAAAAACCCGCGACGAGGAGCCGGGAGGCUUCCGAGACUGCUGGUGGGCCCCGGUCCCUCGGUCAACGGCCCAGAGAUCCAGCACACGCCCUGGCUUCAGAGUCGCUAGGCGUGCCACCUGACCCUAUACCUGAUCAGGAAGGUGUCAUGUAUUAAAUUCCUACAUGCACAGACAUGGGCAAACAUUAAUCCGAGCCGUGAUCGGCUCAUCGCUUCCUUCUCGGUAUCGGCUGUAAAGAGCCGAUUGCAUCAACACCGGGUCGGCUCUAUAAGUAAGCAAUAUAUGUACUCGAUAACGACAUAAAUCCCGCUCCAUAAAUAUUAAUCUAAUCCAAUCUACGAUGAUUAAAACCCUCACUGCAUAAUCGGAACAUCUUAUGCGUGAUUGAGCCUAAUGAAUACCAAAAAGUAACGAAAUAACAACCUAAACAGAGGCCUAAAAACCAACCGAAAAGCCGAUUCCCGGAACAAUCUCCUUUUAAGCUGCUACCCGACACUAAUUACACCGCCGGAACUUUCAACUCGUUUGCAAAGCCUAAUCAUGCAGAUAUUAAGCUAAAUCUCUGAUGAUCAGAAACUAAUCAUAACAGAUUGGAUCUACUAAUAAGAAUAAAGCAAGAUGCAACCAUCGCACCUGAGAUCAGACGCGAUGAUUACUAAACACUCAUAAGUAACAAAAUAGAGCACGAUCAGAAUAUGAAGAAAUUAACGUUACUCUAUGCGUGUUAAGAUAACCAGUGCUACUCGUCAUCAACAAUGCUUCAGAAUGAGAAACACAUAAAAUAAAGGAGCAAGGGCGAUGCUACCCCGAUCACGCAGAGCGUGAUCGGGGUCGCACGGCACUUACCCGAGAAAACCCUAGAACAGGGGAGGCGAUGCGCUGAGAGUUGUUGAUGAAUGAUUCCGUUCUUAUUGUUUACUCAUGAUACAUAUUUAUAGUCCGUAGACUUGUCUUUCUUAACCAACCCUAACCAAACAUGACACGAAUCUUAACUAUUUAUAUCUAAACUAUUUACACGGCCUCCCUGGGCCCAGAACAUCUGCUCACGGUCCGAUUCGCAAGCCCAUUAUAGUUAUCCUCCAAACCCAUCUUGCUCCACGGCCCACUUCCGGCCUGUCCAAAUUAUGGCGAUAACACAUGCCCCCCUGGUUUCGGCAAUGAUAAUUCCGAAAUCAACUCCUUUUUAAACGCCUCGACUCUUCGACUUCCGAAACCCGUACAGUCGUGCCUCUUCAACUUCCAGGGGAUGUGACCGCUCUGCAUCAGACUCCUUGGGAACCAUUAUGGUGUCGAUUCACUUCGCCUCCCCCUUUGCCUUUAUAAACUUACCCCCGGCAUCUUCCUUAAUCGCCUUCUUUCUACAGCCACUGGCAACCACAUCUAAACCAUCCUCUAUUGUUCUUGCGAUGGCUGCUUCUUCUUCCUCUGCCUCUUCUGUUAUUUCUUUUGAAUUCGAACCUUCUCGAGAGCCCACUCCAGAAUAUGAUCCGAUAGCUGCUUAUGUAAUCCUUGCCCCCUGCAUUGGGAUGCAGAGGAGUGGGACUUCCAAUCUCAGUCAGAGGAUGAUGAAUCCCUGACUGAUGACGAAGAUCUCACUCUUCUUCUUGGAGCCGAGCUGGAGGAGGACGAUGAAGACGAUGCAUCCUGGGAAGAGGAGCUCUCCUCCUCGGAGGAAAAAGCCGAUUCCUUCUCAACCGAAGAAGAUUCAGUAGCAGGUAACUUCAUCUUCGGCGGGUCAUCAGAUGAAGCUACCGACAACAUCGAAGAAGCCGAAGAUGAUGGCGGCUUCACCAGCAACAGCAAUGGGAGCGACGAUAGCAGCAACAGCGACGGUGACGACAGUGACGUCAGUACGGCUCUGCCAACCAAGCGCCGCAAGACCUCUGGCGUGUACUGGUGGUAGGCUAUAGUACUAAGCCGAUAGUCCGGCUCUAGGAGCAAUCGACUCCCCCUUUUGUACUUGCUUCCUUGUUGUAAAUAAAAAAUCCUCUUUUGCGUCCGUAAGUUCUUGGAACACAACGAUCUGCUCAAGAGCUGAUGGCAACGCAUCGGCCUUAGAAUAUACUGAUCCGGAUUCGAAAUGGUUCUCCAAUUCAUUUAAUUCUCCACUCGAACUCGAAUCCUUCUCCAACAUAGAUCUCUGGAGAUUCCCAAAAUCCAGGUUAACUUCCAAAAACCCCUUUGCUCAUAAACCCUAGCCACGGAAUUCUCCUCCGAACCUCAGAACACACAUUCAAUCUUGCGCCACCAACCAUAGAUCUACUCCCCAAGUUCUCGAUUUCAUCAGGGUUCCCGAUGGUGGAGUCUUCGAAUAUUGCCAUUACUGUCUUCGGUCUGAAGGUAAAACUCCAACCCCCUUUACUUUAAUGCAGUAGUCACAAAAUUCAUUGCGCUGUUAAAUGACUCCUUCUUCGACUAUUUUGUCUUUCUUGGGGUUUUUUCAGGCUUCCGAUAUCCUCUUACCGCAUCCUUCUUCCCCCAAUUCUUUCUGUCUUGGGCCUCGUUCUUACAAGAACCCCGUAGAUCUAAUUUCCUACGAGGCUAAUCGAAUCCCCUUCGUGAGCCAAGAUAUAGCUCUAGAAUCUUGUUCCGAUAGCCUUCGCGCUUGGCCAAACCCUCCGAAGGGCUGGGUAGUUUGGUAUAACAGGGUGGCGGACACCUACUAGCCUUUAUGGGAAUCCAUCGGAAUAGCCGAUGCUUUGUCUCUAUCUCUUUCCCCUCUUGAAGAGGAUGAGAACCUUCUGAAGACCAUCGGCUAUUUCUGGUCUGAUGCCUUAAAUUGUUUCCUCUUUGGGCAUGGCCCGAUGACCCCAACUCUUCUGGAUGUUAUGAUGAUUACCAGUUUAGACAUCUCAUCAUCUUGUCCCUCUGCUUAUAGGCUUUCUGUAGUUCCUUUCAAAUUAUCUUCCAAAGCAGAGUGCACUAACUGGAGCACAUACUUAAGCCAGCAUCUGAAAACAAAGGGUCCUGUGACAGAAAAGGAACACACAGCCUUCCUGAAUUUAUGGCAUGAGCAUUUUCUCUUCCGUGGCCCUUCACUUGCUCCAACCAAAAAUUACCUUCCUCUGGCAUAAGAGCUGGCCAAAGGUCACACUGUUGGCCUUGGUAAAUUAUUCCUUGGGAAAAUCUACAAAUAUCUUCAUCUGACGUCCUUGAGUCUUCUUUCUCAGAAAAAACUCAGGACUGGUGGCCCCUGGUGGUUCAUCCAGUUAUGGACUCACCUUUACUUCCAAGGUUCCAUCCCAAAUUUCCCCUCUCUGGUUAACAACUCUUUUCCAGAUCAGAGUGGGAGACAGAUCAGGUGUACUAGCUUCGGACAGGCUUUAUACAGCCUCUCUGGCGGGAAGCUAAGUCCUCCAGAUGCCUCUCGUUGGUUCAGGAUUUUUUACAAAGGCCUGGACAACCCAAACUUUCUCCCAUAUGCCGAUUCUGAACUCUUUGAGAACCCAGCCACAUUCCGGCUAGCUGAUUUCACCCAUGAUACUAAUACCAGGCACCUGUACUCCAUCAUGGUCCGUCCCUGCCUCCUCCCAGUUGGCAUGAGUACUUCUAACCGGAUUAUUAAGCCAGGAUAUGAGUUUUACCAGCCGGUCGUAGCAGCCCGGCAAUUUGGUCUUGGGCAAGUGCCUCCACAUUUCCUCCUUCAUCAUCUAACAUCAAGUAGAGUAGACCUGCCUGAUGCUGUCACCACCCAACGAUGUUACUGUCUAUUUUCAGACCUCUCCAUCCCGAUUCCUGUCGAUCUUGCCUUUACUUCUUCGACUGUUGACUUCGAGGGCUGGUGGUUGAUGUGGAAGAAUCACGUUUUCCGAAAAGCUUUGAGGCCAAUGCUGCAACAAAUCCACGCUGAAUAUGAGAUCCUUGACGGAGAGGUAUUGCUGCUCGCCCAUUGUUUCUCUUUUUGACUUUACUAAAUCUUUUCUGAUUUCAUUUUCUAUUUCUGCAGCAGGAGGAUGGCCCAGAGCCGACGAAUGAUGAUGGAUCUCCCUUCCGGUUCUCGCCAGUUGCCCCUAUGGUUCUUUUCAGCAAAAACACGCCUCCUCCUUUGAAAGGUAUCAUGCAGAUUCAGCCCGGAAUCGCAAAGCUAACCCCCAAACGGAGACGAUCUUCAGAGGUUGUUGCUCCCCGGGCUCGCGCUAAGACAAGGAAGGUACUUGUCAGGAAGAUCCGGAAAGAAAUUGUGCCGUCUUCCUCCAGCCAAGAAGCUCCAGUGGGGACCAUCCCCUUUCAUAAUCGGCCUUCUGUUCCUGCCCAUUCUCUUUAAUUAUACUCUCUUUCCCUGCAGCCCAUCGUCGUGGACGUCUCCAGUGGGGAAGAACCCCCACACCAUAAGGACUCAGCUUCAGAGGUUCCAAAGGAUGUGGAAGUGCCCAUCAGAGCUCUGAUUACUCUUCGUGAUCCUAACACAACAGUUCUGGAGGGCCCCUCUACGCUGGUUAAUGUCCCGGUCACCUCACCAGGUUUGCAGGAGCCGGUCGUGGCCGCGUCAAUCACCAGCUCCCCUCUGGAAGAACCAUCCAUUGCCUCGGCCACUGCCAAUCUUUCUGCACGAGAGACAUGCCUCCUAGAGCCGACUGCUAUCUCAUCGGCUGCUGCUCCCUCUUCUGAAAAGGUGAUUCCUCCGGACCCAACCUUCGCUUGUCCCGCUGUCAAUGUUCAUCCUUCAGAAGGGAUGCACCUUCAGGAGCUGACCACUUCUUCAUCGGCUGUCGCCACCUCUCUCCCAGGACAGGUAUGCUUUACUACCAAGUUAUUUUCGCCCCUUUCUGCAAUGCCCUACUCACUCGCCUUUCUUCCAGAGUUUGAACCUUUCAGAACUACUUGCAUUUGAUCCUGCAUCCAUUGGGUCGGCCAUACUAGAAGCCAAUGACCCUCAACCGGACUCGACCAGCACCCCCAGUCGGCUUCUCCGCAUGAAGGAUCUUUUUUUGGGUCCGAUCGACGCCUUGAUGCAGGAUUCCAGCGCGGUAAAGCAAAUCCUUGAUGAAGUCAACUCCCAGCUUCCCAUGAGUCUUCAGGUCAAGCUCCUGCCGGCCGGGCACCUCCCCUCUUUUUGAGCAAAAGUAGCAGAGGCUCGCCAUAGGAUUGAGACCAGGCGCUCUCAAUUCCCCUUGAGAACCAACAUUGCCGAGAGGUGUCAGUCGGUCAAUAAGAAGAAAGCUGCUCUAGACGCCAAGGCUGACACGUCUGUCUCCACCCGACGGCUUCAUCUUCAGGAGAAGGAUCUAGAGGAUCUCGAGGCCAAAGUCCGGGCCACCAAACAGCGCAUCCAAGAAGAGAAAGACCUUAUCGCAAGCUCCAAAUGGGAGGCGGAAGCCCUGACCGCUGAACUAAAGGUGGACCUGGCCGAGCUGAGUGGCCUGAGCAAACAAGUGAUGCCAGGGGCGGACGAAGAGGAUGAAGCAGUGAUCCCUGAAGUUGAUCGCGUCCGUCUCGAUGCCAUUGCUGCUAUUGAUGAUUUCCUUCAGAAAACCUGUUUAAGAUGAACUUUGUAUUCGCAUAUCUUAACUCUAAAGUCGAUGGUCACGCAUCGGCUAUUUGGUGACCUGUUAUGUCAAUUACUCCAAAAAACUCUAAAGUCGAUGGUCUCACAUCGGCUAUUCUAAUAACUUAGGAAAUGCCUUUUCUUUAACGUGCGGGCCGAUCGCACGCAUCAGCCUCCUUUUUUCGUUCUUAUUUUGCCAAAAUAUCACCGGCUUCGUAGACCUGGGCCAUCGAGUUCUGUUGGUUCGCACCCUUCCGCACAACUCUAGCGCUACCUUAUUCAGGCUCAUUGGUCAUAUCGUCUUAUAGCCUGAUGCAUGACAUCGGCUUUACUGCUCAUCGGCCCACAUGCUUGGAAAGUAUCUCUUAAGAUGUUGACCGUUGACUGCCACUGGAAACUUGACACCAUCCAAUUCUUCAAGCAUAUAUGCAUUCCCAGGUAGGACCUGGUCAACCCUAUACGGCCCAUGCCAGUUUGGGGACCACUUGCCAUACGCUGCGUCCUUAGUUCCCAAUGGUAGUACUGCUUCCCAGACCAGAUUUCCUAUUUGAAAUUCCUUUGGUUUGACCUUCUUAUUAUACGCGCGGGCUACAUUGUCACUCAUCAGAGUAGCAUAUUCUUCAGCUGUUAAAUCAUUCUGGAUUUCAUCCUUUUGUGUUACCAAAGCUUGUAAUUCUUCUAUUUGGGUUACUUGAUGGUCAGCAUUCCGAUAGUGGCUUUGAGCCACACCAGUUAUCUGACUUACCCCAUGAUGCAGUAGCAUUUGGUAAUGAUAUUGCACAUCCAUAAACCUGGUAACGAUACGGACAGUUUCUUCAGCCAGAUCUCCUAGCAGAGACCAUGAUGGUCUGUCCGAAAAUCCCAGUCCAAAUUACCUGGGUCUAUAGUAGGAAAUAACCCAAUAGGAUAUGCGGCAACUUCAAUCGGAUGCUGAUUGCAGAAAAGUUUGAUAGCUUCUAAAGCAGCAGUUUCAAGAGUAUCCACUAGACGAUAUCCAACCACUUCCACCUCUAUGGGAGGCCAUAAGGAGCGGAAAGGGUGUUGAGGAAUUAUCAUCUUAACCCUGCAGCGGGGAGCUCCUUCUUCACGAUACUCUACCCCAUCAUACAGAGGAGGCUCUGUAUAAUGAAACAUACUCAAGGAUUCCCACAAAAGAUGAGGAAACCCUUCCCAAUGUAAACCAUUGGUAUGGAAGUGCCCUUCCUGAUCCCAAAAGGUAUUGGAAGGAGCAGCCAUCUGCGACAACAAUGCAAAUGGUAAGAUAUAUUUACCCUGCGGAAAGCUCACAAGGUAAAUGGAUUAAGAAAGUUGAUUCCGAUAACAGCAUAGGCUGGAAAUCAGAUGGAUAUUUAAGAGCUAAAGAUUGCUAUCUAUCCCAAUUAAGAGAUACCCACAUAUUACUUAUUUCUUAGAAAGCAUCGAAUGUAAACAUUCGUUUUGUUGAUUAGUGUGUUAUGCAUGCACGCACUAUGCGAUCUCACAACCAAAAGUAACUGCCAAGUAAUCUUGGUCUUACGUGGUUAGUUUCGGUGGCAUAAUACAUACGUCUCUCCUUAAUAACUAGUCGAUAAGCCCUAUCCGUCCUAGUUUCGUAAUCGUGGUUAGUGUACCUGCAGAAAACCACAAUGCAUAUAUAUAUAUCCAAUGAACCUUUCAUGCCAGCAUGUCAUGAAAGCGUCCCCAUUCAUUACUGCUCACUAUAGAAACAGCAUCUGUACAAUUACCGCCGUACAGACAACGUUAGCAUACAUUAUUGAAUAACGUAUUCACGGGGGUACCGCAAAAAUGCGGGGGUAUGAACAGCGAUCGUCAUACCCUGCGCCGAACCAUAUACUCCCAAUAUAGUCAACCGAGGUUGAUACAUUGGCAGCAUCUCAAGUAGGCCACUGCUUGAGAAACAGCAUUUGGUUCGCAUCACCGACAGGAAGGCCAAGCUCCCUCAGUUGGCUGAGGAUCCUUACCUUCUUACCUCACGAUCGAAGAUGUCGUUACAGAAAGUAAGGUUGGGUUGUGCAUAAAUUUAAGUUUCAACAGAAAAGUAAUGCUGGAAGUUAGAGUUAUAUAUAUAUAUAUGUUACAGCCACCUCUAAUUUUCCCUUAAAUAUCACCCUAGGGCUUUCGUACUAUACAUAAUCCUUAACGAACCAACGUAGUUCGUAAGUAUUUGAUUAAUCAAUUUUUAUACUGAAAAUUACUUUUUAAGGCUAAUUAUAACUCCAGGGUACACUUGUUAGCUCUGAUACCAGCUGUGGCAGAACCAACCUGAAUUAUACCGGCUCAAGUACGCGAGUCCUCACCGAAGGGCUACCUCGUACUUCAAACGGUAUAAAACUAUUGGUCUGUCGGGUAACGUCCUGAUAAACCACCGAACGCAGGAUCCAACAAGGUACCUCACACGAAGGUGAGUCCAGAGAUACAAUGCCAAAUAUCUUACAUCACGUCGUCAUUACAGAUAUUAUGCUAGCCCUGGCAUAAUAUCACUCGGCGGAAUCUGUGUUGGCCGGGGACGGAUCCCAUUCCACGGACCAACCAUCAGGCAAAGGGUAGGGCCACAGUGUAAUGAAAUCUGGCUCAUCAGGGAGAUUACCUGGAUUAAAUCAACAAAAGCAAGGCUGAGUAUACUAAUACUCAGCAAGACUUACCCGGAAUUGGGUAUACCUUAGCCCAUAACUAGACUCAUGAUGGCUUUUAGCUUUGGGUAAGAUUUUCAGCUGAAAAGCAACAAAGAGUAGAUCCUUAAUUUCAACUUUUAGCUUUCAGGUUCUAGUUGAUUAACCAUUCUAGGUAAGCACCUAUAACUAUUCAAACAUGGUAGAAUCUUUACUCAAACAUCAUCUUUGAUAAUCACAUAAUUACUCUUGUUACUCUAUGUGGUAAAGGGAAUCAGCAGUCUCAUACAUUGUGAGAGGCAGACGAUUCUGAAUCGAGAUUCAAUCCUUGCAAGGUAAACCUAACACACACGCUUGGAACACCACAGGGUCGUUCCGAAGCAACCGUUUACCUUUCAUUCCGACUCGUGGAUCAGAUCCACCACAAGCGACUGCAGGUCAUACGCACUUCCAAAGUGCAGGACGUACGUCUAUAGCGUGACUACAAAACCCGUACUCCUGGUUGCCCAGCAACACGUAUGCCUACACGUCGAACAAAGUAACCAAAAGAAGCAAAUACAUGUGGUGGGGGUAUGUCCACUCCUCGGGCCGAUCGGUUACUAGGCUUACCGCUUACCAUAUUUCACGGCAUGUGGCUAGUACUUUCAAACGCUUAACCACCGCUACCACGCACUGCGACCUUAUCAAAUUCAACAACACAGACGGGUAUCAUCUUGACCAUGAUACCUCAUAAAUUCCUGUCUGUUAUCCUUAUAAUGAUAACAAGAAUGUAAACAUCACAAUUCCUAUAUCGCGCGAGUGAUAGGGAAUCACUCGACUUCUACCGGUCCUAUAAGCAGAGCAACUAGUCGGACUCAAGUUCUAGGGUUCAAUACAUUGGUUCCUGGAGUAAUGCAACUAAGGUUUCCAAACAACUCCUAAGAACCUAAUGCAUAAAAAUAUAUAUAUAAAUAUUAUAGGUUGCAGUGUAAUAAAGUAGGGGUUAUGUCCGGGGCUUGCCUUCGCUAGUAGGGUUGGGGUUAGUCAAAUUAUUUUCUUCCGAACCUUGGUUCGAGGCUUCAGAGAAAUCCGCGACGAGAUUCCCGGGGUCUUCAGAAUAAACUUCUUCUUGUUCCGGGAUCAGUUGAUAAUCCCCGUCAGCGAGAGUGGUCGAGUCUACAUGAUAUGCAAGAUGAAGUUUAAUGGGUGCAUACAUUUUCAUUUCAAUUCACGAUAAAGUUGCAAUCCAAUUAAAGGAACAUUAUAUUUCAACAAACAACUUAACUACCCUGUACUGGGCAGUCAUUUAUCGAGUGCUAACUAAACUAACUAGUCUCGUUAGGCAACAGGGUGGGUUACCCUCAACAUCCAACUAACUACAUUAGGUAGCAUAUCUGAUUACCUUAAGCAACACUACAUACACUUAGCAAUCUCCAUUUAUUAGCUAAACAUUGUAAGUAAUUUUUUUUAUUAUUUAAUUAUGGUUAACCUUGAAUUAAUUUAGGCAAAUCGUAAAUUAGUAAAAAUAAAUUAAUACUUAUGAAAAUUACCCUAAGUGGGUUUAAUUGAAAUAACAUUACUCUAGAUAUUUUAUACAAUAGAUAAUUAGAACAACUCACUUAAUUAAACAAUGUGUUUAACUUGAAUGAAUUUUAUAGAGUAAAAUACUUCAAAACAGGGGCUACAAAAAUUACUAAACACAGAUUGAUAUCAGAUAUAUUUACUGUAGUUUUAUUGGAUUUUUAUUCUAAAAGGAACUAAGCCACCAAAUUAAACAAGAUCAAUAUUGAAAUUUCAAGAUGCAAGUAUAACUGGAGUUUUACACUAAAACUAGGGUUCAAAUGUUAAGGACAUUAUAACCUACUCAAGAUUAGCAUCCCAGAAAAGUUUCAUAAUUUUUCAUGCAUAAUAAUUAUUGUUUAUGAAUUACCUUUGAAUCUAAGCUUGAACUUUAUAACUCAAGUUAUAUUAGGUUUCUGAUUCUCAAAUUUUUAUGAUGGAUCAUACUUAUAAAGAUCAAGUCAGGGUACAAAUUUCAUCCCUAAAUAUACAAAGAUGCUUCUGAAAUUAAUUUGUGAAGCUUUCAUUAACAUAUAGCAAAGGUAGUAAAAUAUUCAAGCUAGAGGGUUGAUCUAAGCCUCAAAACUUCACACAAGGCUACUUACAUCACAUACAACACAUGCUCCAAAAACCAACAGCAGCAAGGCUAUGGAUUACAAGAUUCAAAUUAAAACUCCCUUUACUUGUAUUUAAAAUACAGCACAAACUAUGCAUUUUCAUAACAUGCUUAUGAAACAAAAGUUGUAGAUUUCAUCACCAGGAUUCAAACCCAAUUGAUUUGACAUUUUUCUGAUUUUUCUACUGUUUUCUAUACAUUUCUAAAGUUCACAGCAGGAAAUAAAGAAAACUUAAAUAAACUUUACAUAACAGCCCCUAGAUUUAGCACAAAACCCCCUGGAACUUCCUUUUCUUCUCCAACGGAGCCCCCGGCCAUGGUCAGAGAUGGGGAGGCGGGAAUUGACCGGCUAAAUCCGGUGAGCUCGGGUCACGGCGGCAAGGGAAGAGAGGGGGAUUAGCUAGAGGAGAUCGGGGGCUACCUUGGGAGGGGCUUGAUUGGGCUUCUAGGGUCGUGUAGCGGCCUGCCCGCAUAGAGCAGAUGGGCGGCGGCGGAAAAUGGCCUCGACGGCGGCACUCCGGGUGAGCUGGGAGGCGAUGGCCGGGCCUAGCAGCUUCAGGGAACUAGGGGAGAGCUCCUAGUGGUGUUGGAUUGGGCGGAGGAGGGCUGCAGGAGUGGACCCACGGUGGCGUCGAGCUCGCCGGGGCUGCGGAAGAAUGGCGACGGCGUUCCGGUGUCUAGGGGCGAGGAAAUGACUAGCUAAUGGGAGGAAUGGGUCGAGGAGGCUCGUGCGGUACUGAUGCGCCCACAAGAUAGAGCUCAGGGGGUCUCCAAUGCUUCCUCCACGCGGCGGGGUGGCGAGCAGAGAGAGGCCGGCGUUCAGGCGGCGCUGGCAGUACCAGCACGUCGUGGCACUCGGUUGGAAUGCCAGCACCGGGGAUUAGGAGCGGUGGUAGGGCUGUGGAGCGACGCGUGGAAGAAAACUUAGCAGGAGGUGGUGCUCGGGAUGUUGUGCCGGCGAUGGGCGGUGGGAGCAGAAACAGAACAGAGAGGAAGCGAGGAUGACAGAGGAAGAAGAACAGGCAAGUGUCAGAAGGACCCGCUUGCAAAUAGAAAAACUUCCAGGAACCCCUCUGUAAAGAAAGAAUUCCCGUUGAUACAAAAGCCUAGUGAGAAAAGUGUCUAAAGCAAAGUUGUAGAGAAUUUCAAAUACUACAAGAAUGCUUUAGAGCUCGAGUUCAAAAUCUCAAAGGGUACGGUUUUAUUUUGAACUUUUGAACACAACUCAAUUUAUAAACUUUGUGUUACAAUUUAAACAAAAUGCUCUAAUGUUUGGGGUCACUUUGUAAGAUUUUCUGCAGUAAUCAUGACUAGUUCUUUUUACACUUUAGCCCUUAGGUAAACUAAGUUUUACUUUUAUCUUUCAACCAUUUUAUAUGUAAGUCCUUAUAUCUUUGUAUUGAUCACAUAAAGGUCCUUAGUUUCAUAUAAGGUCUAUUUCCCUUAGGUUUAUUUAACUUUUGCUCUUUUCUUUUCUAUAGCCAUCUGAAUUUGACACUUAAGAACAUUUUCACACACUUGCACACAAGAAUUUAUAAAACUCAUAAUUUACAAAUAUACCCCUAUUGCUUUGUACAACUUGUAUAUAUACCAUAUCAUGUAUCCAUACAAUACAUCCAAACUUACUAUCUCAUUGUCUAACUACCGGAAUAUUACAAAAACCGCCUGGCGCCGUCGUGAAGGGCCCGAUCAUGUCGAGACUCCAACAAGCAAAAGGCCAAGAUGGCGGUAUAGUGAUGAGGCUGUGGGCCGGAACAUGCGUCUGUUUGCUGAAGAAUUGACAAUUUUGGCACCUGCACACGAGAUCCUCCGCGUCGGUGACUGCAGUGGGCCACCAGAAGCUAGCCCUGUAUGCUUUCCCAACCAGCGUUCUUGAAGCCGCAUGGUUGCCGCAGACGCCUUCGUGGAUCUCCCGCAGUAUGUCGUAACCAUCUUCCUUCGUGACGCACUUCAUGAGAACUCCUGACCGAGCGCCACGCCGGUAGAGCUUGCCGUUGACCAGGGCGAAGCCCUUGCUUCUUCGCAAGACGCAUGCCGCUUCUGCACUCUUGGCAUCAAUUCCCGCUGGUAGCCAUUGGUCUUGAAUGAAGUCGAUAAAGGCCGCUUGCCAGUCCUCCCCCAGCACCAUAACCUCUCAAUCGGGUUGUUGGGAACCCGAGUCGAUGGUUACCUGCGGAGAAGGCUUGAUGGAUGGCUGAUCGAGCUCCUGGACGAAAACUCCCGACAGGACUUGAGCGCGCGUUGACCCCAACUUGGACAGGAUAUCCGCACCAACAUUGUGCUCCCGUAGCACAUGGUGAACCUCCAAGCCGAAAAACUUGCUUUCCAGCUUGCGCACUUCCUGUACGUAUGCAUCCAUUGUCUCCUUGUUGCAGUCCCAUUCCUUAUUGACCUGCUGAACAACAAGAAGAGAAUCGCCAUAUACGAGUAGUCACUUGAUCCCUAGUGAUAUCGCCAAACGAAGCCCGUGAAGCAAGGCUUCAUACUCGGCUUCAUUAUUGGAUACCUUCCAUAGGAUCUGAAGGACGUACUUCAGUUGUUCGCCACGUGGGGAGAUAAGCAAAACACCAGCGCCCCCGCCGUCGAGCUUGAGGGACCCAUCAAAAUACAUGGUCCAGUGCUCUGGCUUGUCCACUGGGGUUGGGACUUGAUUCUCCCUCCAUUCAGCCAUGAAGUCGACUGGAGCCUGUGACUUGAUUGCAGUGCGUGGCUUGAAGUCGAUUGACAAAGCCCCCAGUUCCACUGCCCACUUAGAUAUGCGUCCUGUGGCAUCUUGAUUAUGGAGAAUAUCCGCCAGCGGGAAAUCCGUAAUCACAGUGAUCUUGUACUCGUCGAAGUAAUGGCGCAACUUCCUUGAUGUAAUUAGAAUUGCAUAUAAGAGCUUUUGAACAGCUGGGUACCGUACCUUUGAUUCGGAGAGGACCUCGCUGACGAAGUAGACAGGCCUCUGCACUCCAAACGCAUGGCCUUCUUCGCCUCGCUCGACUACAAUAGCACUGCUGACAACGUGGGUUGUCGCCGCGAUGUAGAGUAGUAGAUCCUCUUCCGGUAGCGGAGCUGUAAGGAUCGGAGGCGACUGGAGGUGAAUUUUCAAGUCUUGUAGAGCCUGCUCGGCCUCCUCCGUCCAUUGAAACUUGUCUUGGCGUUUUAGGAGCUUGAAGAAAGGUAGUCCUCUCUCCCCGAGUCGGGAGAUGAACCUGUUCAGGGCUGCCAUACAACCUGUCAGCUUCUACACAUCCUUGAUUGUGGCCGGAGCCUCCAUAUCAGUAAUGGCAGUGAUCUUUACAGGGUUGGCUUCGAUGCCCCGGUUGCUGACGAUGAACCCGAGCAAUUUCCCUGAAGGUACUCCAAAAACGCACUUGGUGGGAUUGAGUUUCCACCGAUAUCUGCGUAGACUGCUAAAUGUUUCUUCCAAAUCUGCGAUCAAGUUAUCGGAAUCCCUGGUCUUGAUGACCACGUCAUCCACAUAGGCCUCAACAUUCCGGUGCAGCUGAUCCGCCAAACACAUCUGGAUCGCACGCUGAUAUGUUGCUCCUGCAUUCUUCAACCCGAAGGACAUUGUUUUGUAGGCGUAAGUCCCGUACGGGGUGAUGAAUGCAGUCUUGAUUUGGUCCUCCUCCUUGAGCGCAAUCUGAUGAUACCCUGAAUAACAAUCAAGAAAACAAAGAAGGACACAUCAGGCCGUCGAAUCGACGACUUGGUCAAUGCGCGGCAGCCCAAAAUGAUCUUUUGGGCAAUGCUUGUUGAGAUCGGUGUAGUCGACACACAUUCUCCAUUCAUUGUUCUUUUUCUUUACAAGGACGGAAUUCACUACCCACUCUGGAUGGAUUACUUCUUUAAUGAAUCCAGCCGCGAGAAGUUUAGCGAUCUCCCGUUUAAUGGCCUCACGCUUGUCGUGGGCACCGCAGGCGUUGCUUCUUAGGCGUAGCCUUCGGGUGUACAUUCAAAGCAUGCUCGAUCAACUCCCUGGGCACCCUUGGCAUAUCCGCUGGUUUCCAUGCGAAUAUGUCUCAGUUAGCCCGAAGAAAGCUGACGAGCGCGAGUUCCUAUUUGUCACCCAAGCCCGCACCGAUGAUGGCGGUCUUGGAUGAAUCUCCCUCCUAGAGCUGGAUCGUCUUGAGGGCCACAUCAUCAGUCGACUGGAUGCUCGACUUGUUGGCCUUCUUGGAAGGAAUCUCCAGCCCGGUCUGGGAGAGCUGCUGCGUGGCCGCGAAUACUUCUCCCAAAGCAUCUGGCAUGCGAGUAGUCGAAGCGUACUGGAUCGCCUCCUGAUUGCAGUCGUACGACUUCUUCAAGUCACCGCGGAGGGUGAGCACUCCACCGAGUCCUGGCAUCUUAAGAAGCAGAUAGACAUAAUGCGGCACUGCCAUGAACUUGGCAAGUGCCGGUCGACCCAGUAUUGCAUGGUAAGAAGAGUCAAAAGUAGCCACUUCGAACUUGAUGAAUUCAGUACGAUAAUUCUCCCGCGUGCCGAAGGUGACUGGGAGGACCACCGUACCAAGCGGGUGUGCCGCAUUACCUGGGACGAUGCCGUAGAAGGGGGACUUGCUGGGAGCCAGCAUAUCCUUGAAAUCCAGACCCAUCUUCUUCAAAGUGCUAACGAAGAUGAGAUUGAGCCCACUCCCGCCAUCGAUCAGGACCUUGGUAAGCUUAACCUCUGCCACCACAGGAUCCAGGACCAAAGGGAACUUACCGGGCUCUGAAAAGCUCGUCCACUGGUCAUCACGAGAGAAUGAGAUGGGGACCUCCGACCAACGGAGUGGUCGUGGUACCGCCAGCUCAAUGGACAAGAUCUCCCGAAGAAGCAGCUUCUGGUCCCGCCUGGAACCGAAAUCCUCAUCUCCUCCGAAGAUAACGUUGACGACCUUCGAGGCAUCCUGCAGACAGUCGCUCCUUUCCCUGAUCCUUCUCUAUGGCAUCACGGCCCCACCUGUCAUCUACUUUUCAGGCCCAACCCGUGCACGGGGAGAGCUCGGACUCCCCGCACAGCACCCCUAUAAAGGUCGAGCCAAAACCCUCGGGCCUGUGCCCUACCCUGCCGCCGUACGCCCCUGCUGCUCGUGCCUUUUUUUUCCCCCUCGUGUGCAGCCCCUGCGUCCUCCCCUGCGCAGCAGCGCACCAGCGCCGCCAUCGCCCAGGCCGUGCCCCUGCUCCUGCUGCGCAUGGGCAUCACCGCCCUGGCCCCUGCGUCGCGCCCCCUGCAGGCCGGCCCUGCCGCCCCCGCCUGCCUCUCUCCUGCAGCGCAGCCGCCCCUACCCAGCAGAGCAGGCCGUCACCAUGCUCCUGUGAUCUGCCGCUGCCUCCCCUGGCCCCAUCUGCCGUGCCGCUUUUUCCCUGCCUGUGCGCACCAGCCAGCCUCCUCGGCGCCCUGCUCCUCCUCCAGCGCCGUAGCGCCGCCCUGCUCCUUUCCGCUAGCGCUGCUGUGCUCCUUCCCCCAUGCGCCGCCACCAGGAGCCGGGACAGGCGCCAGCCACCCGAAGCACGAGCAGAAGCGUCGCCGCCCGAUCAAAAGCAGCGUCGACCUGCCCUGUGCGCCGUGCUCCUCCGCGCGCCCCGCCCUACAGCCGCGCUCGCCCCCUGUGCCACCCCCCUGCCACUUUUCCCCCCAGCGGGAGCGCUGCCACCAUGAGCAACCGCCCAGAACAGAAGAACAGACCGCCGGCGCCUUUUUCUCCCGCGAAAUUCGAUCGCCACGAUGCAUUUCCGCGGUAAGUUAGGUAUGGAAUUGAAUCCCCUUGUUGUCCUCUUUCUUUUCCCCCACUUCCCGCGACCUCUCGUGCCCUAAAUCGCCGGCAAUUUGAAGAACAGUAGCCGCCGGUCUCCAUGGGAGGCUGCUGUGAAGGUUUCAUGAUUAGGUCCCCGAAAGAUUCUGUAAUUACGGUGAAAAUUCCUGUGUCUUGCAAAUUUCGUAGAAAACCCCUAGAUCUUUUCCGUCUUCUCAAUCCAGCCCCACCCGUGGUAUUUUCAGAUCUAACCCUAAUCUUUUCUGUAUUCGUGAGCCCUAUUUUUUUCUGUGUCUUGUUUUUCUUUUCAGCUAACCCUUGAAGUCUAUAGUUAAUUGCGUAUAGGUCCUUGCAGCAUUGUUUUAUGCGUAGUUUCCGCGUUUUAGAUCCGUUUUGAUUCAUUCUUUUUGCGUUAGUCUUCUAAAACCUUAAGCUAUCGUUUAGUAGCGUUGUUGUGCCAUAAUUCCUAUUUUUUUAAAAUUAAAUAUCAAUUUAAUUUGAAUAAUAUCCUCUCAUCUAGUUUUCUGAAAUAAAAUCCAAUUAAGUCUUUUCUCCAGUUUUCAUAAGUAAUGUUAACUCAAUUAAUAUGAAAUUAAAUGUGUUUGUAAUUUAAUUUGUUUAGUUCAACAUGAAUCAUAAAGUUCGACGUUUAGAUGCUCUCACCAGUUUCUUUUCUAAUUAAUUAUUUAAUUAGUGUAAUUUGUACAUAGAGAAUUGUAUAUAAAAUUUGACUAAGUUCUACUUCAUCUUUAUAAAAUAUAAUAUGAGUUAAUUAUAAUUAGGGAUAUUCUCUUUUGAAUAUCUUUUACAUUAGUUUUCUGGAUUAAAAUAAACGAAAGCCUAUAGUUCUUUUAUUUCUUUCAUAACAUAAGUCUUCCGAUAGCUGUUUCUUUUCAACCCUAGCUCCGUUUUCCGCGUUUCUUUCUUUCUCGUGACCGUAGCAACGAGCCCUAUCCUUUAGUACGCUCUUUUAAAGCUUUCCGUUUGUUUGGUGUACCGUUCUUAGUCGUUCUUGUUUGUUUAUUUGCUUGUAUGUUUGGGCCCGAUGCUUGUGUGAUGUUAGAAGGAGCGCGAUCCAAGAGGUUUGAAGAUCUAGAGUUUCAAGAACAAGAGUUGAAGACUCUGAGCAGCUAUUCUCUAAAAGAAAGGCAAGUGUUUCCUUGAUCAUUAUUUUAUCCUAAUAAUCACAUAAAUAUAACUUUUCUUUAUAUGCAUGCAUGUGUUCUAAUUUUGAUGGAUCCUAAUUAAGGAUAUGCCUAGUCUUAAUGAUCAUUCCUUGUCAACCUGGGUUUUACCUUUAUGUUGGGUAGCUAUUGCUUAGUUGCUAUAACUGGUUUUGGUUCGGGAAUAAUAUAUAACCAUGAUGAGAACAAUGAUGAUGUUACACCUGUUUUAUCCAUGUUCAUGCUCUUGGUGAUGUUAAUCACAAGAUUAUAUGUUUUAAUUGGAAUAUGGAGAACCACCCAGGAAAACAGUGCAACCACAAUACUAUAUGGCUCUGGUCUUGGCUGAUUAAUUAGAAACACUAGCUUAUGACGAUCUUACCGAAAGGGCAAGAGGGGUUGCAUCGUCGGGGUAUAGCUCGGUCCUCGUGAGGGUAUGAUAUGGUCCUGGGUAAGGCGUCUGCCUCAUUAGGGAGAGUUAUGACCGUUUUGGCUUGAAACCUCAGCAGACUGUCAUAAGUUAGGGAAUCUUUGUAAAGGCCUCGUAGUGAAUCCCUUGCCACUCACCUCGGAAGUGUUUAAGAGGCUAGCUACCUCGGGCAAAUCGGGAGACACGAAUUGUGGGUAAAGUGUACAACCUCUGCAGAGUGAAAACUGAUAUAUCAGCUGUGCUCACGGUUAAGAGCGGCUUGGAUCCUCACAUGAUAAUUGAACUUGAAGAUGAAUUAAAUCGUGGACCAUGGCUAUGGUUAUGGUUAUCAUGGACCAUUUUUAUGGUUGUGGUUAUGCUUAUGCUGUAUCUCUUCUAUUUCUUUUAAAGUGGGUUUUGGUAUGAACUUAUACCUUAGUAAUCAGGUGCUAAUAAAAUUUGACCAACUAAAAUUGCUUAUCGCAGUAAGCCAGUCAGCCUUUCCUUGCUUUUGGCCUUCAUGUCAUAUAAUUCCCAACACUUGCUAAGUACCAACCAUAAGUGUACUCACGCUUGUUAUAAUUGCUGCUCAGAGGAGAAAGUGAUGUGAAGUCUUUUGAAGAUGAUGCUGAGUUCUAGGCCUGCGCAAUCCCCGGUCGAUUGCCUAUGAAGUUUGGAGUCUCCGUUUCCAGGAUAAGCUGUAUAACUCUGAUAAUCUUUAUAGUCUUUUAAUUCUCUUUUCAUGAUACUGUUGCCGAUUAUUCACUAAUGAAGUCACUAUAUGUAUGGAACUUGAUCCUGGCAUACAUUUAGUUAUGCAUUCGGUUUUGUCCUUAAAAAAACCAGGUGUGACAUUUACCCUUGCAAGGCUGAAACUCGAUUCAGAAUCGUCCGUCUCUUGUGGAAAUUGAGACUGCUUAUUCCUUCUGCCACAUAGAGUAAGAAAUGUAACUAUUGAUGGAACAAUCAUGAUGAAUGAUAAUCUCUACCUUGCUUGCUUAGUGUAGGUGCUAACUUAGAAUGCAUAAUCAACUAGAAUAUGAACGCUAAAAUUUGAAAGUAGAUCAUACUCUUUGUUGCUUUUCAGCUGAAAAUAAACUCAAAACCCUUGAAAUGCCUUCAUGAGUCUAGUUACGGGCUAAGGUAUACCCAACCCGGGUAAGCCUUGCUGAGUAUUAGAAUACUCAGUCUUGCUAGUAUCAUUUUCAGGUAUAACCUUCGAGAACCCGACGGAUAGUUCUGCGUGGCCAACUUCUGUUCCACAUGGCUGGUCCGUGGAGUGGGAUCCGUCCCCGGCUGGCAGUGACCCUCCUGAGUGACACCAGGCCUUGGGCUGAGCAUGGUGUCAACCUUUGCGACGUGUGUAGUCGCGUGUUUAUUUUCCUUCUGCUGUAAGCAUGGACAAGCUGUUUAGCUUGUCGGUUUAAACACUAUUUGUAUAAGUUUACUUUAAGUUUGAACAAGGUUUGUAAUAAUAUUUGCAUAUCUGAAAAUUAAAAGUGGAUGAGCGGUACUGUGAUUGUAAACUCACCUUCGUGCGAGGUAAACCUGCUUCGAUCCUAUUGAACCGUGGUUGUAUCGGGCGGAGACCCGACAGACCAAUAAGUUGUUCCGUUUGAAGUGCGUUGAGUUAGUAUCGGCUAUACAACGAUGACUAGCGCACUUGAGCAGGAUAAUUCAGGCGGUUCUGCCACAGCUGGUAUCAGAGCCGUAGGUUUACUUUUACAACUGCAGUAGCUCUUAAAAGGUGUUUUCAGGAUAAAAUUGGCCAACAAAUGAAUUUACAACGUGCGUUGGAUUCAUUAAGGUUGGUGUUAGAACGCAAAGCCCUAGGGACUUAUAGGAGAAUUAUCAGGUGGCUGCUAGUAUAUAUACAUAUAUAGAUAGCUCUGACUUGCAGCACUACUUUCUGUCAAAACUUAAAUUCAUGCACAACUCAACUUUACUUUGUGUAACGACACCUUCGGUGGUAAGGUAAGAAGGUAAGGAUCCUCAGCUAACUGGCAAGCAGUGGCCUACUUGAGAUGCUGCCAAUAUAUCAACUUAGGUUGGUUAUAUUUGGAGUAUAUGGUUCGGUGCAGGGUAUGGCGAUCGCUGUUCAUACCCCCGCAUUUUGCGGUACCCCCGUGAAUACGUUGUUUCAAUGAUGUAUGUUAACAUUGUUUGUACGGCGGUAAUUGUACAGAUGCUGUUUCUAUGGUGAACACUACUAUUUGGAGACGCUUUCAUGUCGUGCUGCCAUGAAAGAUUCAUGAUAUGUAUAUGUGGUUUUCUGCAGGUACACUAACCACGAUUAAUAGGUUAAGAUGGAUAGGACUUAUCGAUUAGUUAUUAGUGAGAGAUGUAUGGGUAAUGCCACCGAAAUUAACCGCGUAAGUCCGAAGAUAUUCGGCAGUUGUUUUUGAUUGUGAGAACGAAUAGUGCGUGCAUGCAUCAAUCAUCAUCAAUUGCAUGAAUGCAAUAUACAUUUUGUUCUAUUAAGGACGAAUAGUGUGUUGCUUGUUUCUAGAAUGGGUUAAUAGGAUUUUUGUGGUAGUUCUAAGUGGAGUAUCUUAAGCAUCCAUCUGAUUUACAGUCUUUGCUGUUGUCAGAAUUGAUUAUCUUAUUCCAUUUAUCUUGUGAUUUCUCAGCAAGGUAAAUAAGUCUCACCAUUUGCAUUCUUGUUGCAGAUGGCAGCCCUUUCCAACGUCUUUUGGGAUCCGGCAGGGCAUCUCCACACAAAUGCCUUGCACUGGGAGGGUUUUCCUCGCCUUCUCUGGGAGUCACUACGCUCGUUCCUUUAUAUCGAGCCUCCACAGUAUGAUGCAGUGGAGUAUCAGGAGGAAGGUGUUCGCCAAUAUCGAGUUAGAAUGACUAUUCCUCAACAUCCCUUUCGCUCCCAAUGGCAGCCCAUUGAAGUUGAUGUGGUGGGUCAUCGUAUAGUUGAUACGAUUGAGGUAGCAGCCCUGGAAGCUAUCUAUCUGUUCUGCAACCAACAUCCAAGGCAAGUUGCAGGACAGCCUAUUGGUUUUUUUUCUACCACAGAUCCCAACGAUCCUGAGUGGAAUCUCAGGGUAGUCCCUGAAGGUCACAGGUUGGAAGGCUCGACAGAAGAAGCGCUUCAGGGUACUAUGCGGUUUAUGAAUGUUCAGCAUCACUAUCAACUUCUGCUACAUCGCAGUAUGGGUCAAUUGAUCAGUAUCGCACAAGGUCACUUUAGGAAUGCUGACCGACAAGUCAUCCAAAUACAGCAGCUUCAAGCUUCGGUGACAGAGAAGGAAGAAAUUAUCGCUGCCCGGGAAGAGACUAUUCAUCACCGGGAAGACCAGAUCAAUGAAAGUGAUGCGAUAAUCACCCAACGCAACACAAUCAUUGAGUUUCUCCAAGAACAGAUCCACGACCUCAUUCGAGGUUGAUGAUGCCCAAGUCCAGAUCAAUGAACUCCAACAGCAGCCAGCGCCUCCUGCUGUACCAGCUCCUGAAGAAGAAGAAGAUCCCGAAGAAAUCAAAGGAGUCUCCGAGAUCGAUUCUGAGCACGGAGAUCCUGUUAUCAGUCCCCAUCAUCCUUCUUCAGGCAGUCAGUCAUCAAUGGGCACCUUUGAUGACUUUUAAUUUAGUUUGAGUUGGUGACGUCUUAGUUGUAAUUACUGUAGAAAGAUGUGAUAUAGCUAGUGAGUAGUCUAUUUAGGUCUAGAGCCACUUGUUGUAUUAAAUGUGGCAUGGGUGCGUAUAAAAUGACUUGCAAUGGUUAAAGUGUCUUGAUGUAAGAUGUAAGGACCACCAGUAUUUGCGUAGUAAUCCAAACCCCGUGUUCUACCAUCUUACUUAAUCCCUUCGCAUCUGAAAUGAGUUGAUUGAAUGGAGCAUAUGAAUUACAUUCCUAUUUGGUAAUUGUAUAUCAUCUGGAAUUGGAGUAAGGAUAUGAUUGAUAAUGGUAUCCCCUUUGUUUCAGAUGGUUGGAGCUACUCGAGGAACCCCGGAAGGUUUUCGGGUAGAUCAGGCCAGCGGAUCCCAGCAACCGCCACCGCCACCUCCAAAUCUAGCCGAGGUUAUGGCCCGACGAACGGAACUCCUCAAUCAGCUUGUGCAGGCUCAGAUGGGCCACUUCCAUCAGCAAUCCCGAGGCUGAGAUGAACCCCUAUCGGCCAGUUAUCAAGACUUCCUCAGCACCCAGCCUCCACUAUUCCAUAAGGCGGAUGAGCCCCUUGACGCCGAUGCUUCCAAGUUCACCUUAUUGUCUGUCCCAUGUUUGGAUGAAAACAAGGCGCUUUUUGCAGCCUAGCAACUCCAUGGCACCGCUCGCCUAUGGUGGGAUCAUUUUCACGCCAUGCAGCCUGCCGAUCAUGUCGUCACUUGGGAUGAGUUUCGGACUGUGUUUCGAGCGCACCAUAUACCCGAAGGACUCAUUGAGCGAAAGCUUAAUGAAUUUCUGAACCUGACUCAGGGAACCCGCACCGUCAUGCAAUACGCACAAGUUUUCAACCACUUGUGCCAGUACGCGGGAUACCAUGUGGACAGUGAUGCCCGCAAAAGAGAUCGUUUUCGCCGAGGCCUGAACACCAAACUUAAAGAACGACUGAAUUUGGUAAGGGUCGAUAAUUUCAAUGAGCUGGUCAACAUGGCCAUCAGUCAGGAAGACUGCAUCUCAGCCCACAGAGCAGAAAAGAAAAGGAAGACACCCACAGGGCCUACAACUACGCAACCGUCAAGGUAUCGGUUGGUCCCAAGCACUGCCCCUCAAGCCCCGCCUCGAGGCAACUUGCCUGGCAGAUGGGUAGCUAGACCACCCCAACAGGCACGAUUCAACCGACCACCGACACCACAAUUUCAGCAGCAACAACAACAAGGUCCGCGACCGAGCUUUCCGCCCAUCAAUUAAGGCAACUAUCGUUGUUUCAACUGCGGAAGCCCGUCCCAUUUCAUCAAGGAUUGCCCUCAACCUAGGAAGUCUUUCCAAGGGCAAACAUCCGGUCCAACCAGCAAGGGCAAGGGCAAGAGGCAAGUGGUCCAGGUCCGCCAAGGAAGGGUGAACCUCACCACUCUUUCUGAACUUCCUGAGGGGACACCAAUAAUGACGGGUACUUUUUCUAUCAACUAUCAUCCAGUAAUUGUUCUUUUUGACUCUGGUGCCACCCAUAGCUUUGUCAGUAUAAAGUGUGGGACUAAAAUAGGUUUGGAUAUCUAUCCUACCAAUGGAGAUUAUAAGAUAACAACUCCUGGUGGAAAAAUCUUAUCAAAUCAAAUUUGUAGGAAGGUACCACUUCAGCUGGGUAGUCAAUUGAUGAAAACGGACUUGCUUCUGUUAGACCUAGAAGGAAUGGAUGUUCUUUUAGGUAUGAAUUGGAUGACCCAACAUCAAGUGUCAUUAGAUAUCUCUUCCCGAAUUGUGGAGAUAGAUUCACCUGAGCACGAACCUACCAUUCUCUAUCUUCCACCACAGGAAUACCUUAAUUCUUGCACCUAUGCUACAAUAGGGAUCAAGUUAAAGGAUAUCCCUAUCAUCUGUGAAUACCCAGACAUCUUUCCAAACAAUUUGCCUAGAAUGCCCCCAGAUAGAGAUAUCAAGUUUAUCAUAGAACUCCAACCUGGCACAACCCCUAUCUCUAAGAGAUCUUACCGUAUGCCUCCUAACGAGUUGGCCGAGUUAAAAAUCCAACUCCAAGACUCCUUGACAAGGGUUUCAUUCGUUCGAGUGCAUCACCAUGGGGUUGUCCAGCCUUAUUUGUGAAAAAGAAGGAUAAUAGCUUAAGGCUAUGUGUACAUUAUCAUCCUCUCAAUACAGUGACUAUCAAAAACAAGUACCCCCUACCCCGCAUUGAUAUUCUUUUCGAUCAGUUAGCCGGAGCUAAAGUAUUCUCUAAGAUUGAUCUUCGUUCCGGUUAUCAUCAAAUUAAGAUCUGGCCAAGUGACAUUCCAAAAACGGCCUUCUCCACUCGAUAUGGUCUAUAUGAAUACCUAGUCAUAUUGUUUGGUCUUACCAAUGCCCCAGCAUAUUUCAUGUAUCUCAUGAAUUCUGUCUUCAUGCAAGAACUCGACAAAUUUGUUGUAGUCUUCAUUGAUGACAUCUUGAUCUAUUCCAAAAAUCCAGAAGAUCAUGCCAAACAUCUUCAUGUCAUUAUUCAGCGAUUAAGAGACCACCAUUUAUACGCCAAAUUCUCCAAGUGCAAGUUCUGGUUGGAUACUGUGAAAUUUCUGGGCCACACCAUUUCUGGUGAGGGUAUAUCCGUUGAUCCCAGUAAAGUGCAAGAAGUGAUGGAUUGGAAACCUCCCACAUCAGUCCAUCAAAUCCGUAGUUUUCUUGGUCUAGCUGGCUAUUAUCGCCGCUUCAUUCCUGACUUCUCCAGAAUAGCCAAACCUAUGACCGAACUACUAAAGAAGGGUGUCAAAUUCUCUUGGAAUUAAAAAUGUGAAGAUGCAUUUCACACUCUUCAAGAUCAUCUUACAACUGCUCCAGUCUUAGCUCAACCAGAUGUGUCAAAACCCUUCAACAUCUAUUGUGGUGCUUCAAGAAUGGGACUUGGUUGUGUGCUUAUGCAGGACAACCGAGUAAUUGCAUAUGCAUCAUGAACACUCAGGGUUCAUGAACAGAACUACCCUACCCAUGAUCUCAAACUCGCAGCUGUCAUUCAUGCCUUGAAGAUCUGGAGACAUCAUUUGAUGGGUACGAAAUGUCACAUUUAUACUAACCACAAAAGCCUCAAGUACAUCUUUAAACAGGCAGACCUAAAUAUGAGGCAAAGACGCCGGCUAGAGCUUAUUAAAGAUUAUGACUUGGAAAUACAUUAUCAUCCAGGCAAGGCUAACGUUGUUGCAGAUGUACUCAGUCGCAAGGCACAUUGCUCUUGCUUAUCUGUAGAAGCUUUCAAUGAGACUCUCUACUGGGAAAUGAGAAAGCUUAAUCUAGAAAUCGUUCCCCAAGGUGACUUAAACCAUCUCUCAGUUGAGGCCAUGCUUAGGGAUGGCAUUGUUCUAGCUCAGCAGUGCAAUAAAGGAGUUAGGAUCAUUAAGCAGAAGAUAACACAAGGAGAAGGGAAGUAUAAGUGCUUCCGAGUAGAUCCAGAAGGAGUUUUAAGGUUCAAUGAACAUAUCGUUGUACCCAAGGACCAUAAGCUCCGUAAACAGAUAUUGGACGAGGCCCACCUGUCCAAAUUCUCUAUGCACCCUGGCAGUACGAAGAUGUACCAAGAUCUGAAACAAAACUUUUGGUGGACUCGUAUGAAACGGGAAAUUGCUAAGUAUGUCUCAGAAUGUGAUAUCUGCCAAAAGUCAAAGCUAGUCACCUGAAGACUGCUGGUAUUCUUCAACCUCUAUCUAUUCCCUCUUGGAAAUGGGAGGAUAUCAGUAUGGACUUUAUUGUUGGUUUGCCCAAUACUUCUCUGAGGCAUGACUCUAUUUGGGUAAUCGUUGAUCGAUUGACCAAGACUGCACAUUUUCUUCUUGUGCAUACUACAUAUAAUGCCAAGAAGUAUGCUGAGAUUUACUUGGAUCAAAUUGUUCGUCUUCAUGGAAUACCUAAGAUGAUCAUUUCCGAUCAUGGAGCGCAGUUUAUUGCUCGGUUCUGGGAGCAACUUUGAGAUGCUCUUGGAACUAAGUUAAUUUGAAGCUCUGCAUAUCAUCCUCAAACAGAUGGACAGACUGAAAGAGUAAAUCAGAUAUUGGAAGAUAUGCUCAGAGCCUGUGUCCUCCAGUAUGACAAGAACUGGGACAAAUGCUUACCUCUACAGAAUUCUCGUACAACAACAGCUAUCAGACCAGUCUCAAAAUGGCCCCGUUCGAAACAUUGUACGGUCGCCGAUGCCGAACUCCUUUGAGUUGGUCACAAACCGGCGAGCGUAAAAUCUUUGGACCCGACCUAGUCAUUGAAGUAGAGAAUAAGGUAAAGAUUAUACACACGAAUCUAAAGGCAGCCCAAUCGCGGCAGAAAAGCUACGCUGAUAUAUGAAGAAGACCAUUACAGUUUCAAGUUGGAGACUUUGUAUAUCUUCGAGUAUCUCCUACUUGAGGUGUUCAAAGGUUUGGCGUAAAAGGGAAACUUGCUCCCCGAUACAUCGGACCCUUUGAAAUCCUUGAAAUCUGCGGACCCGUAGCUUACCAUCUCCAACUUCCUCUUCAGUUAGCUGCCAUUCAUAACAUCUUUCAUGUGUCUCAACUUAGGAAAUGCGUCCAGAUUCCUACCGAGACCAUCGAUUCCCAAGCCAUCGAAAUCGAACCUGAUCUGACCUAUACAGAACAUCCACUUAGAGUGCUAGACACCAAAGAGAGAAGCACUAGAAGAGAAACCAUCAGAAUAUACAAAAUUCAAUGGAACCAUCACACAGAAGAAGAGGCAACAUGGGAAACCGAAUCUUAUCUUCGGCAAAAUUUUCCAGACUUCUUCCAAGACAACCUCCGCGUUUGAUCAUUCAAUUCCAUCCUGUUCCAGAAUCUCGGGACGAGAUUCUUUAUAGGAGGGAAGGCUGUGACACUCAGGUAAUUAGUGUGGUCACACCCUAGAUUUUAGUGUGAUGUUAUGUGCAAAACGUGGUAAAAGUUUGUUUAAAAAUUUAAAUACUUAGGGAGAAGGGUUAUUUAUAUAAUUAUAUUUUAAUAAAGGUCCAUUAGUGCUAAAUGGUUAAGCAUGGAGGAUAGAAUUCAAAUGUAUGAGGGUUGUUUUGCAAAAGUCAAAAACUUGUGUUUAAAUCGCAAAUGUAGGUGAAACUACACAUAGGAUAUAUUUGUAGUGUAGUUUUUAAAUAGGGUUUGUAUAAAGUUUAGAAUCUUUGCUAAAUUUUAUUUUAACUCCAACUCCUUAGCUCUUAUGUGGAUGAACCUUAAAGCAAAGUUGUACAUUUUGAAAAACCAUACAUUUUUGCUUUUGGGCCCAUCUCCAUUUUAGCCCUGGUUUGAAAGUUAUGUAUGCAUUACAGUAGGGUCCCUGCAUUUCUGUGAUAUUGCAUUUGGGUCCCUCUUCGUCUCCUCUCCCUCUCCUCUGUUCUCCUCUGCCGCGCGCCGCCGCCGCUGUCUCGGCCAUGUGCGCCGCACCUGCUGUCUCUGCGCUGCUCUAGACCUCGCCACGUGCCACCCCGGCCUCUGCCCCGCCGCUUCCCGCCCUCGCGCUGGCCACCCCCUACCCUCACCACGUCGCCCGUCAUCUGCUCGAGCUGCGCCUCACCGCCGCUCGGCAUCGCAGCGUCUCCCACGCCACCUCCUGCCUUCCGACGACUCCACGCGUCAUUACCCGCCUUGCCGCCGCCCUCCCGACCCCGUGCUAGCUCGCCCUUGCGUCCUCCACGUUGCAUUGCUUCUGCCCGAGCGCCGCCGCGAUCGCCACGCACGCCGCCGAGACGCCAACUCCUGCUUGCGCACAGGCACAUCCCCUUCUGGACCUCAAGCUCUUCCUCUAGCUCCUCUAGUACAUUUCCUGGCAUUUGCACAAUUCUUUUCCAUUCCAUUUUCCGUGCUCCGAUCGCCAACACUCACCGGACCUCCUCCGUGACUCCAGCUCACCGUCGGCAGCCCCACCGCCGCUUCCCAAUCCCCAAUUCAGUGCACCAACAGCAUUGACGUGACCCACUGCAGCUCACUGAGUGAUCCAAUCCCAGUUUCCUCCACCAGAACCGCCGGACCGCAACGCCGGCGAGCCCUCUUCCUCCGUCACCGCUCGGCCUCCCGUCGACCCACCGAUAUAGGCCCUCUCCGCCCCGAUCAACGUCACCAUCAGCACCACAUCAUCCUCCUGAAGCGAUCCCGCCCCUCCUCCACCACCCUCCGUCGCCCUAGCCUGCAGAACACCAGCUGCCAUUGCCGCCGGUAAGGACCCGAGGUUCACCCCGCCGUCGAUCACCACUCUCCGACCUGUUUCUAUCCAAAUUAAGUUGGGGGAAAGCAUCCCCGCACUCCCCCGGUGCUCAUGCGUGCCUUGUUCCCCCAUGUUCGCCGGUCCCCCGCCGGGAACGACGACGCCCCGACACGGCCGCCGCCACUCCUCACCGCCGGCCGUGCUCCGUCGCUGAUCUUGAUGCACAUCACCCACUGUUGGACACCAUAGGACUUGUAGGUCAUGCUGGACCAGAUCAUCUCCGGCCAAGACCUCGCCGCCGGCGAGAACGCCGGAGACAGAGAUGCCGGACGCCGUCGCGAGCCGUUUCAUGAAUUUAAAUGAAACCCCCUUGUUUAAAUGAUAAUUUAAAAGUAAAACCCCCUUGUUUCAUGAAUUCAUGUGUGUUGAUUGUUGGAUUGCAACUUUAUUGUGAAAUAAAAUUCUUAAACUCAAGCACCAUCUCAUUUUAAGUUAUUGCAUGUCAUAUAGAAUCAACGACUCUCAACGAUGGAGACUAUGAGCUGGUCUUGGGACAAGACCAAGGGUUUUCUGAAGACCCGAUAAACGUCGCCGAGGAACUAACUGAAGCCCCGAACCAAAGUUCGGAAGUCUCUGACACUCCUGCCUCCAACCCCACUCAAGAAGGCAAGCCCCGAUGCAUACCCUAGUAUUUCAAUUUAUUACAAUUUUAUUAUUAUAUUAUAUAUCUUGCAUUACGUCUAGGAGUUGAAAUGAAACCCUAGUUGCAUAAAAUCUUAGGAAUCCAAUGUAUUAUACCCGAGUCCUUAUCGCAUAGAUGCUCUGCUAAAUAGGGCCGGUAAAAGUCGAGUGAUUUUCUGUCACUCGCGCGAUAUAAGAGUUGCAUGUUUACAAUUCUGCAAUCACUCUAAGGAUAAUGGACAGGGUCAUGUGCAAUAUCAUGACCUGGAGGUUUACCCUGUCUGUUUUGAUAAAAGUUGUUAAGGUCGCAGCGUGUGGUAGUGGUGGCUAAGCGUUUGAAAGUACUAGCCACAUGCCGCGAAAUACGGUAAAGCGGUAAGCCUAGUAACCAAUCGGCCCGGCAAGUGGACAUACCUCCCACCACUCGUAAUUUGGUUUUUCUCAUGCACCGACGUGCAGGAGUGCGUUCCACACUGCGGACAGGAGUACGGUCAUGUAGUCACGCUACAGACGUAUGUCCUGCACAAUUGGUGUGCGUACGGUCCUACAGUCGCUUGUGGUGGCCCUGUUCCACGACCUGGAAUGAAAGCCAAACGGUUGUUUCGGAACGAUCUUUGGAUAUUCCAAGCGUGUGAGUUAGGUUUAACCUUGCAAGGCUGAAACUUGAUUCAGAAUCGUCCGUCUCUCACGGAAAUUGAGAUUGCUUAUUCCUUCUGCCACAUAGAGUAAGAAAUGUAGCUAUUGAUGGAACAAUCAUGAUGAAUGAUAAUCUCUACCUUGCUUUCUUAGCGUAGGUGCUAACCUAGAAUGGAUAAUCAACUAGAAUAUGAACGCUAAAAUUUGAAAGUAGAUCAUACUCUUUGUUGCUUUUCAGCUGAAAAUAAACUCAGAACCCUUGAAAUGACUUCAUGAGUCUAGUUACGGGCUAAGGUAUAGCCAACCCCGGUAAGCCUUGCUGAGUAUUAGAAUACUCAGUCUUGCUAGUAUCAUUUUCAGGUAUAACCUUCGAGAAUCCCACGGAUAGUUCUGCGUGGCCAACUUCUGUUCCACAUGGCUGGUCCGUGGAGUGGGAUCCGUCCCCGGCUGGCAGUGACCCUCCUGAGUGACACCAGGCCUUGGGCUGAGCAUGGUAUCAACCUUUGCGAUGAGUGUAGUCGCGUGUUUAUUUUCCUUCCGCUGUAAGAAUGGACAAGCUGUUUAGCUUGUCGGUUUAAACACUGUUUGUAUAAGUUUAUUUUAAGUUGGAACAAGGUUUGUAAUAAUAUUUGCAUAUCUGAAAAUUAAAAGUGGAUGAGCGGUACUGUGAUUGUAAACUCGCCUUCGUGCGAGGUAAACCUGCUUCGAUCCUGUUGAACCGUGGUUGUAUCGAGCGGAGACCCGACAGACCAAUGUGUUGUCCCGUUUGAAGUGCGUUGAGUUAGUAUCGGCUAUACAGCGAUGACUAGCGCACUUGAGCUGGAAUAAUUCAGGCGGUUCUGCCACACGCGUGAGAUUAGAUCGCGUACCCCUUCAAUCCCGGCCCUCUGAUCUAGAUCCAACGGACCCGAUUCCAUCGUUCAGAUUGGACCGUCCGAUCUAGAUCGGACCGUACGUUUCCCCCGUCCAGAUCGGACCGUCUGAACCGAGCCGUUCAGAUCGGACCGUCCGAUCCGGAACAUGUCCGAACCGUCCGAUCCAGAUCCGACGGCCCAGAUUAAAAGGUACCGCUUCAGCCGUGCUGUUUUGCUCAAGAGACCCUAAAUGUCUUUGGAAUCAACCUGCAGUCCACCCCCGUUCAAAAGUAAUUCCAGAUAAGCCCUGUUUUUAGCGUUUAGGCCCCUGAGCUUCUUAGAUAUAGAACCCGCCGUCCAGACCUUGAGUUUUGGCGUGUUAGCCCCUGAAUCUAUAGUUUAAUUUCAUUUAAGUCCCUAGUUUUGCGCAGAACCCCUGGAACUUUCUGUUUUCUUACAGAAAAGCCCCUAGACCUUGUUUUAGCUCUAGUUUUCGCAUCCUAGCUCCGUUUUAGGUGGUUUUCACGUUCACGCGAUCGCUGUAAUGUGCAGAAUAGCUCUAGCCUAGUUUUGUGCAUUGUUUUUAUGUAAUGUUGUACUAUUUCUUAUCUUUUGUCAUUGUUUGCAUGUAUGUGUAUGUGCUGGACCAUGUUUUGGCGUUGCGAUCGUGAGUAGACGUUGAGCCACCGGAGGAGUACGAGGAGCCACCUUUUUCAGACGCGUUUGAGCAGCACCCAGCAGAGUUUGAGGAAGGCAAGUAUAACAUCAACAUCCUAUCACUUUUAAAUACAAUUUCAUACUGCAUUUUAAUACUCUAUGCCUAUAAGGAUUUCCUAGCCACUUUUAUCCUUUAUAUAUAAAUACCUUGGGUUGCAUUUUGGUUAAGUUGUGCUAGGUGCUGCGCUCUCACACAUUAUGGUCCUUUUUAAUUAAAUUUGAUUAAUGGUAUAUGUAACUUGAUUCUGAUAGUGGCCUUCUGUGCUGUGUGCUUGAGCAGCUCACAUCUCGUUAAAAUAUAUUUUUAUUAGAAAUAUGGUUUAGGGGGCCAGCACGGUGCUUAGUGCUUGGUUGGCCACUCUCCCUAAGGACCGGUUCAUAGAGCGAUAACCUGGGACAACCGCGCAACCACAAGACUGGAAUGGGACGGUCUUGACUUACUAAUUAGGUCAUUUUGAUUUGGGAGUAACUUACCUGCGGGGCAAGAGGGGUGGUAAGCUUCAAUUGUCCCUGCUCCUCAAGCUUGGUCUGUGCUAUGUGCUUGUACCCCCGUGAGGUGGGCUCCAUCACCGCCGAUCCAGAAACCUUAGCGGUUACACCUUACUAAGGUGAUCCUUUGUAACGGUCUCGUAGUGCGCUCGCUAGUCAUCUCACCUAAGGAAGUGUGAUGAACAACUAGCAUAGCUCACAACUUGUGGGUAAAGUUGUGCAACCUCUCGAGAGUGUAAAACUAGCAUAUUAGCCGUGCUCACGGUCAUGAGCGGCCUAGAUCCUCCAUCUGAUUAGUGGGGUUUAUCUUUGGGUGGUUUGGCCUGGAUUUCAGUAGAGUCAUGAUUAAUUUUGAUUAAUUACUAUGCAACUUGGGUUAUGGUAAUUCAUCCACUUGUAGUAAAUAGCUUUAAUAAAACUUGCCAAGAUCAAAAGCUAAUGCAGUUGAGUCAGCUAACCGUAGAGUCUCAUAAUUCGUGUUAUACUUGUUGAGUACAAGUUGUGUACUCACACUUGCCUCUCUACUCUUUUGUUCUCUUUGGAAUAUCUUCGACUGCUGCUCAGUACCAGGCAACAUGGAGGACUACAUCAGCGGAGUUGAUGAUUUCUAGGAUUUUGUCUCCCAGCCGACGUCCCUGUGGCGCCCUGUUCUUCAUGUAUUCAUUUUACGCUUCCGCAUUCCUUGAACCGAUUCUUGAUUCGAUUGUAAUAAAGAAUUCAUUUACAAUUUAUACGCUUUUAUUUCGUGAUAUGUGUUGUGAUAUCUUGAUGAUUCUGUUGUAUAUAUGCGUGACUUGAUCCUGGCGUAUAUAUGAUUGCUCGGUUUAUGUCCUUGUAAAUCGGGUGUGACAGAAUUGGUAUCAGAGCCAUGUCGACUGUAGGACGAAGCCUAGUUAGAAAUGGUCGAGUUUAAGGAUUUGUUUUCUCCUGCCUUGCUUCCGCAAAACUCAAACAUUCAUUUUUGCUUCUAUUCCUUGAGUCCUAAACUUUGAUUUGCAAGCUCUCCCUCUUGUCCUUUCCAAGAAUUAGUCUGAUCUCUUCCGUAGAUGUUGGCCUACAAUUUUUUGUCUGUCCUCAUAAGCCUAGGAUGCCUUUGCAAAAAUACGUUAGAGCGUCUGUUUGUUUUAGUCGAGUGGAGUGAUAAACUCGGCUAAAGUGUGGAUAUUGAGUGUUUGUGAUUGUGCAAAAUGUUUGAUUUGGAUUUUUGGUUGAUUGCAUAGUUUAGAAUUUAAACUUGCUCAUGCAAAUCGACUUUAACGCAAACUUGAAUUAAGUAAUAAAACUGAGAUAGAUCAUUGGGGGUAAAAUCGUACACUCUUUACUCUCUACUUUAUCCUAUCAGAGUUUUCUUUCUAGAAUCGUACAAUAUCGGUCUCUUAUAAGUUUCAUUCUACUGCAUACAGUGAAGGAAGUUCGUUCCUUUCUGGGCUUAGCAGGAUACUAUUGGAGGUUCAUUGAGAAUUUCUCCAGGAUUGCGAAGCCUUUGACUUCCUUGCUAGAGAAGGGUGUGGAUUUCUCCUGGACUGAUGAGCGUCAGAUGGCCUUCGAUGAGCUGAAGAAGAGGUUGACUACGGCGCCAGUCCUUACUCUGCCCGACCAGAGCAAGAGGUUCACAGUGUAUUGUGAUGCUUCGAGGGUUAGUCUUGGUUGCGUCCUGAUGCAGGAAGGCAGAGUUAUAGCUAAUGCUUCGCGGCAGUUGCGCCGACAUGAGCUGAAUUAUCCCACUCAUGAUCUGGAGUUAGCCGUAGUUGUGCAUGCUCUGAAGAUAUGGAGGCAUUACUUGUUUGGGCAGAGGUGUGACAUUUACAUCGAUCACAAGAGCCUCAAGUACAUAUUCACAUAGAGUGAGCUGAACAUGCGGCAGAGAAGAUGGCUAGAGCUAGUCAAGGAUUAUGACCUGGAUAUUCACUAUCAUCUGGACAAGGCCAAUAUUGUAGCAGAUGCUCUGAGCAGGAAGAGUUAUGUCAACAUGGCCAUGGCUUUUCAGAUGCCUCAGGAGUUAUGCGAGGAGUUCGAGCAGUUGAGUCUGGGAUUCUUGCAUCACACCUUGAGUGCAUCCUUCGAGGCAGAACCCACUCUAGAGGCAGAGAUCAGGCAGCAUCAGAAAGAAGAUAAGAAGCUGCAAAUUGGCAAAGCACCUCAUUUCAGAGAGGAUGAUCAGGGUACCUUGUGGUACAAGGGCCGGAUAUGUGUGCCAGAUGUAAAGGAUCUCAGGAAGCUGAUUUUGAGUGAGGCUCAUGAUACAGCAUAUUCCAUUCAUCCGGGCAGCACGAAGAUGUAUUAUGACCUCAAGGAACGAUUCUGGUGGUAUGGGAUGAAGCGUUUUGUUGCAGAGUACGUGGCUAUCUGUGACACUUGUCAGCGUGUCAAGGCAGAGCAUUAGAGGCUAGCAGGUCUGUUGCAGUCGUUGAAGAUUCCAGAGUGGAAAUGGGAGGAGAUCACUAUGGACUUCAUUGUUGGAUUGCCUCGUACUUAGAAAGGGUACAACUCUAUAUGGGUAGUAGUGGAUCGGUUGACGAAGGUCGCCCACUUCAUUCCGGUGAACACUACUUACUCCGGUGCUAGACUCGCAGAGUUGUACAUCUCCAGGAUCGUUUGUCUGCAUGGUGUUCCGAAGAAGAUCAUAUCUGACCGAGGAUCUCAGUUCACCUCACGGUUCUGGGAGCAGCAGCAUGAUUCGUUGGAUAUGAAGCUAUGCUUCAGUACCGCCUAUCAUCCUCAGACAGAUGGGCAGACAGAGAGAAUCAACCAAGUGUUGGAGAAUAUGCUUCGAGCCUGUGCUAUUCAGUAUGGUACCAGCUGGGAUAAAUGCCUGCCGUUUGCAGAGUUUUCAUACAACAAUAGCUAUCAGGCCAGUCUGCAGAAAUCUCCUUUCCAGGCCCUGUACAGUCGAAAGUGCAGAACUCUGCUGUAUUGGGUUCAGAUUGGUGAGAGGUAGGUGUUCGGUCUGAAUAUUAUUGAGGAUGCAGAACAGCUGGUACAACAGGUACGAGAGAAUCUGAGGGUUGCACAGACUCGUCAGAAGAGCUAUGCGGAUGUGCGUCGUCGGGAUUUGACCUUUGUGGUGGAUGAUCAUGUGUAUUUGAAGGUCUCGCCAAUGAGAGAAAUCCGCAGGUUUAAUGUGAAAGGGAAGUUAGCCCCUAGAUACAUUGGUCCGUUCAAGGUGUUGGAACGGAAGGGUGAGGUAGCAUACCAUUUGGAGUUACCUCCCAGUCCCUCAGGAGUGCAUGAUGUCUUCCAUGUAUCUCAGCUGAAGAAGUGCUUGAGAGUUCUGGAAGAGCAAGUACCGUUGGAAGGGUUGGAAGUGCAGGAGGAUCUGACCUACACCGAGCAUCCGGUGAAGAUUCUGGAGACGUCUGAGAGAGUUACUAGGAACAAGAAGAUCAAGAUGUGCCGUGUUCAGUGGAGUCAUCACACAAAGGAUGAGGCUACUUGGGAGCGAGAAGAUGAGCUGAGGAAGACAUACCCCGAUCUCUUUGCUAGCUAGCCUAUUCGAAUCUCAGGACGAGAUUCCUAUAAGGAGGGUAGGUUUGUAACACCCUAAUGUAAAAUUUCGAGAUUUAUAAUGAAUUUAAUUUUGCUCCAGUAAUUUUCUAAGGAUUUAUUUUGCCUAGCUUGCAUUUAACUUAAUUAAAUUCCACAAAGAAUUAAAAGUUAUUUUAGUUCAACAUGUUGGUGCAUUCAUGCUGGUGCAUAAGUUUAUUUGAGUGAGUGCCUAGGGUUUAAUUCAAUCUUGGUUUUGAAUUCAAAUAGAUUUAAGUUUGAAAACUAGAAAAGUAAAUAGGAAAGGGUUUGAAAAAGGGCAAACCAGCCCAGCAGCCCAACUCUCCGCGGCCUCUUUUCCCCCGCGGCCCAUUCUCCCUUCCUUCUCCCGCACGCGGCCCACUCCCUCAGCCCAGCUAGCUCGCGCUUCUUUUCCCCUGCUGGCCCGCCCCCUCCGCGCGCUCUCUCUCCCUCUUUCUCUCUGAUCACCCGACCCCACCUGUCAGCGCCCCCUUUCACUUUCCUUUCUUCUUCCCCCGCAUCACCGGCCGCGCAACGACUGCCCGCAAUCUCCGGCGAGUCUUUGCGUCGGGCCCGCACGCCGAGGGUGCCCCGCCGCCCCACAAAUAGGAUCUCCAAACCCCCUGCACCCUUAUCCCCUACCCCGCGGCUGCCACCCGAACCCUAGCGCUACCGCCCGCUUGCUCCGCCGCGCAGAGCUCCCUGCUCCACCAUGGACCCGCCGCUCCGCUGCACCCCAGACCCGGCCAAGGCCCGGAUCGGCUUCGCCUCACCGCCAGGAAGCUCCCCAAGCUCACCACCCGCGACAACGGCCCGUGCAACGGCCGGAAUUGCGCCCGAUGUUGCCGCCGGUAAAUUGCUCCGGCACCUCGAUUCCUCGCUGCCGGAAGUUCCCCGACCUUCUUGACUCCUGUAGCAUCUCUGCAGGAGCUUCACGAGUCGACCCGUGGAGUCCAGGAGCCCGGAGAUGCCCUGCAUCAACCCUCCACGAGCGCCGCUUCAUCUCGGCCGCCCGCCAUCGCCGCCGGCCACACUGCACCGCCUUGUCCGCUGCUCCGAGCCCUCAGUGAAUAUCAGCAUGUUCCCUUGGUCCUUUUGCGCUAGAUGUAGUAGAUCGUAGCCCGCUCCUGCAGCACGCACGCACGCACGCCGGCAAGCGCCGCCGCACAGAACCGCCCCCGCCGCCGCGCACGCAACCCUGAGCAACCCCGAGGCCCGCAAGUACCCUAGGUGGAUUACGCAUGUCGCGUUGAACCUCCCUAGCCCAAAAUCCGGUUGAUUUGACCCCCAGAGCAUCGUUCACGGUGAAAUUCGGCGAGCCCCAAGCCGUGCUCCGCCGCGGAACAAGGUCGCCGGUGAGUUCCGCCGCCGGCAGCGCUCCCUUUUAACCCUAACCGCCCGAUCCGAGAUCAACGCAUGAGAUUAGAUCGCGUACCCCUUCAAUCCCGGCCCUCCGAUCUAGAUCCAACGGACCGAUUCCAUCGUUCAGAUCGGACCGUUCGUUUCCCCCGUCCAGAUCGGACCGUCCGAACCCAGCCGUUCAGAUCGGAGCAUCCGAUCCGGAACGCGUUCGAACCGUCCGAUCCAGAUCCGACGGCCCAGAUUAAAAGGUACCGCUUCAGCCGUGCUAUUUUUCUAAAGAGACCCUGAGUUUCUUUGGAAUCAACCCACAGUCCACCCCCAUUCAAAAGUAAUUCCAGAUAAGCCCUGUUAUUAGCAUUUAGGCCCCUGAGCUUCUUAGAUAUAGAACCCGCCGUCCAGACCUUGAAUUUUGGCGUGUUAGCCCCUGCGUCUAUAGUUUAAUUUUGUUUAAGUCCCUAGUUUUGCGCAGAACCCCUGGAACUUUCUGUUUUCUUACAGAAAAGCCCCUAGACCUUGUUUUAGCUCUAGUUUUCGCGUCCUAGCUCCGUUUUAGGUGGUUUUCACGCUCACGCGAUCGUUGUAAUGCGUAGAAUAGUUCUAGCCUAGUUUUGUGCAUUGUUUUUAUGUAAUGUUGUACUGUUUCUUAUCUUUUGUCAUUGUUUGCAUGUAUGUGUAUGUGCUGGACCAUGUUUUGGCGUUGCGAUCGUGAGUAGAUGUUGAGCCACCGGAGGAGUACCAGGAGCCACCUUCUUCAGACGCGUUUAAGCAGCAGGUAGGAGAGUUUGAGGAAGGCAAGUAUAACAUGAAUAUCCUAUCACUUUUAAAUACAAUUUCAUACUGCAUUUUAAUACUGUAUGCCUACAAGGAAUUCCUAGCCACUUUUAUCCUUUAUAUAUAAAUACCUUGGGUUGCAUUUUGGUUAAGUUGUGCUAGGUGCUGCACUCUGACACAUUAUGGUCCUUUUUAAUUAAAUUUGAUUAAUGGUAUAUGCAACUUGAUUCUGAUAGUGGCCCUCUGUGUUGUGUGCUUGAGCAGCUCACGGCUCGUUAAAAUAUAUUUUUAUUAGAAACAUGGUUUAGGGGGCCAGCAUGGUGCUUAGUGCUUGGUUGGCCACUCUCCCUAAGGACCGGUUCAUAGAGCGACAACCUGGGACAACCGCGCAACCACAAGACUGGAAUGGGACGGUCUUGACUUACUAAUUAGGUCAUUUUGGUUCGGGAGUAACUUACCUGCGGGGCAAGAGGGGUGGUAAGCUUCAAUGGUCCUUGCUCCUCUGGCUUGGUCUGUGCUGUGUGCUUGUACCCCCGUGAGGUGGGCCCCAUCGCCGCUGAUCCAGAAACCUUAGCGGUUACACCUUAGUAACGUGAUCCUUUGUAACGGUCUCGUAGUGCGCUCGCUAGUCAUCUCACCUAAGGAAGUGUGAUGAACAACUAGCGUAGCUCACGACUUGUGGGUAAAGUUGUGCAACCUCUCGAGAGUGUAAAACUGGUAUACUAGCCGUGCUCACGGUCAUGAGCGGCCUAGAUCCUCCGUCUGAUUAGUGGGGUUUAUCUUUGGGUGGUUUGGCCUGGAUUUCAGUAGAGUCAUGAUUAAUUUUGAUUAAUUACUAUGCAACUUGGGUUAUGGUAAUUCAUCCACUUGUAGUAAAUAGCUUUAAUAAAACUUGCCAAAAUUAAAAGCUAAUGCAGUUGAGUCAGCUAACCGUAGAGUCUCAUAAUUCGUGUUAUACUUGUUGAGUACAAGUUGUGUACUCACACUUGCCUCUCUACUCUUUUGUUCUCUUUGGGAUAUCUUCGAUUGCUGCUCAGUACCAGGCGACGUGGAGGACUACAUCAGCGGAGUCGAUGAUUUCUAGUAUUUUGUCUCCCAGCCGACGUCCCUGUGGCGCCCUGUUCUUCAUGUAUUCAUUUUACGCUUCCGCAUUCCUUGAACCGAUUCUUGAUUCGGUUGUAAUAAAUAAUUCAUUUACAAUUUAUACGCUUUUAUUUCAUGAUAUGUGUUGUGAUAUCUUGAUGAUUCUGUUGUAUAUAUGCGUGACUUGAUCCUGGCGCAUAUAUGAUUGCUCGAUUUAUGUCCUUGUAAAUCGGGUGUGACAGUAUGUGUGCUAAAACUUGAAUGUAAAGGCAAAAGGGUAUUUUAGUAAUUCUGGAAAAUUUAGGUCCUUUGGUGCAAAAUGGGUGAGAAUGGGAGGUAAAAUCAAAUUAUGUAAAUGGUUGUUUUGCAAGAAGCAAGUACUUACUUUUAAACCACAAAUAGAAGUGAAACUAUCCUAAGGAUUCAAUUGGAGUGUAGAUUUUAAAUAAGAUUUCUCCGAAGUUUAAAACUUUGCCAAGUUUAAAGUUAGAUUCAAAUCAGUAACUCUUUUGAAAUAGAACCUUAAGGCAGAGUUGUAGAUCUUGCUAAGUCUACACUUUUACUUUUGGGCAUAUUUUCAUUUGAGCUAUGUUUUGAAAGUUAACCUGGCUUUACAUUAGAGUCCCUAUACUUUUGAAAAAUUGCAGCCAGGUCCCCAUCGUCUACCUCCAACUCCCUCCUCUCUCUGUUUCUCCCUGCGCCGACCCCGCCGCCCUCACCGGCCAAUUUCCCGAGCUCCAGCUACCCCGCGCCGCUCUUCUCUGCACCACGUGCUGCUCCAGCACCGCGCCCGCCGCUCCCCACCCCGCGCUGGCCCUCUCCCUGCUCCUGCACGUCGCGCCGCCGCUGCCCAAGCCGCCACCCACGCCGCCGAGCUUGCCAGCACCUGCUCUUGCUCGCCAUGCCUCCUCCUCAACCUGAAGCACGUCCCUGAGCUCCCAGUGCACUCCCUCUUGCAUUCACGCACCCACAUUUGCACUGCCUUUCUUCUUCCCGAGCGCGACGCCCCGCCGGAGCUCCGACGCAGCUCCUGCUCACCGUCGUCAGCCGCCUCCGCCGCCUCCCACCAGCAACCCAGUGCUCCAGCAGCAUCGCCACCACCCACUAGUGCUCACAGACCAGUCCAAUUUCAAAUUCCCGCACCCGAGCAGCCCCGACCACGGCGCCGGUGAGCUCGAGUUCUGCCGCCGCUCAGUCUCGCCGCCGUCCCGACACCUCACCGCCUCUUAGCCCCGGCCAAGCACACCACCAGCACCACAUCACCCCGAGGAAGCUUUCUAGCUACUUCCGCACCACCCUCCGGCACUCCGGCCACCGGAACGCCGCCAUCGUCCCUCGGAGUCCCGCCGCCCGCCCCUGUUCGCCGUUGACUUACCGCCUCGGCCCCUCUCUUCCCCAACAUUGGCCACCCCCGCGACCGCCGUGAGCUCCUGAACAUUUUCCCCCACUUGCCCCUCGCAGCCGGUGAGCCCCCUCGCCGGAAUUUGGUCGCCACCGAUCGGCAUCCCUGUGUAGCCCGGCCAAGAACCCAAUUGCAAGGGUUUAAAACUUUUCAGGGGCCUUUCUGUGGAAAAUCAGAACCCCCCAUUUCAAAUCAGCCAACUUUGAAAAUCCAUAGAAAUUUGUAGAAAAAUCCAAAAAUUACCAAACCAGUUUUAUUGUACUCCAGAAGUGUAACUCUACAACCAGUUUAAGAUAAAAAUGUUUUAAAAGUUAUUUAAAAGAUUAGCAAAAGGGUAUCUUAUGUGUAACUUUUGCAUGCUAGCGCUAUUGCUUGUGAUUUUUGGUGUGUAGCCUGUUUAGGGUGUGACUGAGCUUGUGUACAAAUUUCACUGGUAGUACUGAACCCUAGCUUGAAAUAGAUUAAACCUAUGCAAAUCAAGCUUGAAUUGGUUAAAAUUUAUUCAAGCAUAUUACUAAAGUUUUCAUGCUUAGAUCUUUUUACCAUAUGAUGUACUGUAAGUAAGUAGUUCAUAGUAAAUCUUUCAAGAAUUUAGGUCACUAUUUUGCCUAAGGUUUGAAUUUAAACUUGAAAUUUGAACUUAAAUAAAAUGCUUUAGUUUCUAUUUUCAGAAAAUUAUGAAAAAUUUAUAGUAAGCUCAUCCACUAGAAGUAAGCUUACCCACAAAAAUUCAAGGCCAUAGCCUUUGUGGAUUUCAAAAUAAAAAUCAAACUUGUUAAUCUAAUUCAAUUAAUUCAACUAAUUAGGAUAAUUGAAUUAAGAUACAAAUAGUAAGUUUGAAUUCAACUUUCUUAUUUUAUGAAGUUGUAUUUAUCAAUUUGUUAGAUUGCAACUUUAUCAUGAAGUAAAGUUCUUAACUCAAGAACCACCUCAUUCAAAUCACUGCAUAUCAUGUAGAGUCAAUGACACUCGACGACGGAGACUACGAACUAGUCCCGGAAUAUGAGCAAGGGUUUUCUGAAGACCUAGUGAACAUCGUUGAGGAUUUAAUUGAAGCCCCAAACCAAGGUUCGGAAGUCUUUGACAUCCCUAACCCUAGCCCCGCUCAAGAAGGCAAGCCCCGAUGCAUGACCCAGUAUUUUAAAUUAUUACACUUAUACAAUUUCUACUUAUAUAUCUAUAUUAUGCAUUAAGUCUAUGAGUUGAAAUAGAACUCUAGAUGCAUGAAUCUUAGGAACUAUUGUAUUGUGCCUGAGUCCUUAUCGAAUAGAUGCUCUGCUAAUAGAACCGGCAAAAGUCGGGUGAUUUCCUAUCACUCGCGCGAUAUAGGAGUUGAAUGUUUACUACUCUGCAAUCACUAUAAGGAUGAUGGACGGGUUGAUGUGCAGUAUCAUGACUUGGAAGGUUAUCCUGUCUAUGUUGAUAAAAGUUGAUAAGGUCACAGUGUGUGGUAGCUGUGGUUAAGCAUUUGAAAAUACUAGCCACAUACCGCGAAAUAUGGAAAGCGGUUAGCCUAGAAACCAAUCGGCCUGAGGAGUGGACAUACCUCCCACCACUCGUAAUUUAGUUUUUCACACACGCAUCGACGUGCGGGAAUACGUUCUGACAGCGGACAGGAUUACGGUCAUGUAGUCGCGCAACAGACGUACGUCCUGCACAUUGGAUGUGCGUAUGGUCCUACAGUCACUUGUGGUGGCCCUAAUCCACGAGUUGGAAUGAAAGGUAAACGGUUGCUUCGGAAUGAUCAUUGGAUGUUCCAAGCGUGUGAGUUAGGUUUACCCUUGCAAGGUUAUGAAACUCGAUUCAGAAUCGUCCGUUUCUCGCGGAAAUUGAGACUGCUUGCUCCUUCUGCCACAUAGAGUAAGAAUAGAAACUAUUGUUGGAAUAAUCUGGAUGAAAGCUAAUCUCUACCUUGCUUGUCUAGUAUAGGUGCUUACUUAGAAUGGUUAAUGAAAUUAAAAUCUGAAAGCUAAAACAUGAAAGUUAGAUCAUACUCUUUGUUGCUUUUCAGCAAAAAGAAAACCAGAACAUCUCAAUCCUCCAUGGUCUAGUUUCGGGCUAAGUAUAUCCAAUCUCGGUUAAGUCUUGCUAAGUAUUAGCAUACUCAGUCUUGCUAGUCUAUUUUUCAGGUAUGGCCUGUGGAAACCAAACGGAUAGUCCAGCUCAGCUGUGGAAACCAAACGGAUAGUCCAGCUCAGCUAUUCUCUAUUCCGUUUGGCUGGUCCGUGGAGUGGGAUCCAUCCCCGGCCGGCAAUGACCCUCCGGAAUGACGCCAUGUUUCGAGCUGAACAUGGUGCCAACUUUCACGACGUAUGUAGUCGCGUGUUAUUUUUUUCUGCUGUAACUCUGAACAAGCUGUGUAGCUUGUUGUUUUAAACAAUGUUUCUAUAAGUUUACUUUAAGUUUGAAACAGCCUGUAAUAAUGUUUAAUCUUUCGGUAAAUUAAAAGUUGAUGAGUUGUGGUGUGAUUAUAAACUCGCCUUCGUGCGGGGUAAACCUACCUCGAUCCUGUGUAACCGUGGUUGAAUCGGGCGAUGACCCGACAGACCAAUGGAUUGUUCUGUUUGAAGUGCGUUGAGUUAGUAUCACCUGCAUAGUGAUGACUAACACACUUGAGCCGGAAUAAUUCAAGCGGUUCUGCCACAUGACUGAGGUCUAAGAUAGAAUGACUGAGUUUGUUCAAAUUUAACAAAUGAUUGGAUGUACUCAGUAAUUCGCCUGAAUGACUGAAGCUAAAAUAUGUAGUGACUGAGGCUAAAAGGAUGGAUUGACUGAGUUUUGUUCACUCCCUUCCAUGUAUUGCAUGUUUAUUGUGAAGAAUGACUGAAAAUCAAUAAAUUACUGCUAUCUAAGUAAUUCUACUGAAUGACUGAGACUAAAAGGAUAGAAUGACUGAGCUUGUUCACUUCCUAAAAUCACAAUCCAUAGAGUGUAGGGUUAGAAUGUUGACAUUGGGGGGAGGGGAAAUCGCAAGGGUACCGAAGGAAUCAGCAAUGAGGCACUGGAGAGCACGAAAUGGAGCAAACCCUAAACAAUCCGCACCACAAAUUGACAUUGGGGGGAGGGGAAAUCACAAGGGUACCGAAGGAAUUAGAGAGCACGAAACGAAGCAAACCCUAAACAAUCCGCCCACAAAUUGACAUUGGGGGGGAGGGGAAAGCGCAAGGGUACCGAAGGAAUCAGCACUGAGGCGCUGGAGAGCAUGAAACGGAGCAAACCCUAAGCAAUCCACACCACAAAACCAUCGAUGUCCCCCUACCCCAACUGCAAAAUACCUAGCAUGCCGCCUUGGUCAUGGGAGGCGGUCCGAUCUAAACUUCCGCACUGGUUCGAUCUGAACUCGCACUGGUCUGAUCUGAACUCAGUUAUUUCUUCUGAAUGACUGAUGCUAAAAAGAUGGAAUGACUGAGGUCUAAGAUAGAAUGACUGAGUUUGUUCAAGUUUAACAAAUGACUGGAUGUACUCAGUAAUUCGCCUGAAUGACUGAAGCUAAAAUAUGUAGUGAGUGAGGCUAAAAGGAUGGAUUGACUGAGUUUUGUUCACUCCCUUCCAUGUAUUGCAUGUUUUUUGUGAAGAAUGACUGAAAAUCAAUAAAUUACUAUUGAACUCAGUUAUUUCUUCUGAAUGACUGAUGCUAAAAAGAUAGAAUGACUGAGGUCCUAGAUGCACGAUGUGCUAUUCCUAGAUGUCAUGCCCCCACCGCGUGCUAUUUCAUAAACCCGGACGUGCUAUUCGAAAACAAACCAUCGACGCAGUCAAUAGCACGCGGCGGCUCCUAGAACCGUCAGCACGGAAGCGAGUCCUACGCAGCAGCGGCGGCGCGUCGGCGCCAUCCAUGUAGGUAUGUACCCUAAUUUCUCUCUGUUAGGGUUUUGUAGAUUUGCGCUCGCGUGAUUCGUCCUUCAUGGGAAUAGCCCGUCAACAGUCGAGAGGGUGCUCGUCGGCUAUGCUCCUAUUCUUAGGAUGACUCCCCGUAGGAGCAAAAGAAGGGCAAGCGUUGUUCAAAUUUCAAAUUGAGAAGUUCUUGGUGUUUUUUAAUUGAGGUUUGGCUUGCUCCUAUUCUUAGGAUGACUCCCCAUAGGAGCAACAGUAGGUCAAGCGGCUUUCAAAUUUCAAAUUCUGCUUCAGAGAAGCAUGCGAAGGCCACACCCAAAAAGAAAAAUUCCCAGA